RNAcentral lists this long non-coding RNA (53454 nucleotides) under Durio zibethinus. Its description in RNAcentral is "long non-coding RNA (DZIB_LNC000724)". Lineage: Eukaryota; Viridiplantae; Streptophyta; Magnoliopsida; Malvales; Malvaceae. The record is from RNAcentral.
AAAAAUGUUCUUCAAAUCUUCUUCACUUGUUGAUUCUGAGAGAUUCUUUACAUAGACAUUGUUAAAUUUUGUCUUGCUAAUAGCGGUAUCUCUUUCCUGCUUUCGAACAAAGGGGCCCACAUACACUUGCUUAUCAUUCAGUAGCAUACCAUUCAACUUCUCUAUUGCUUUUUGGGCAGCUUCCUCAUUGUCAAAUUGUACAAAGCCAUAACCUUUUGAAUGGCCAGAGGGGUCUGUGGCUACCUUGCAAGAUAGAAUGUUUCCAAAUGCAGAAAUGUAGAUGUACAAUGAGCUUAUUCUGGUCGUGCCGCUUAUCUUAAAUUCUGCCAGAUCCAACAAGAACAGAAAACAAACAAAAAAUAAACCAUAUGAGAUUUGUGAAGCACAGAUUUAUAAAACAAAGCUGCAUGUGAAACCACAUGAUUGUCAAAUUUUUCUUGCCUUGAUAAAUAUAUUCCCAGAGCCACUUUUACGAAGACUAGGGUCGCGGUUUGAGUACAUAAUCCGGAUAGGCUUUCCAUUUAGAGGAGUGAAAUUCAGAAGGUCCAAUGCCCUUGCAGCUGUAAGUGAACAGAAGAGAAUGUCAUGAAGAAUAAAGAGCAAACAUUUUUUUUCAGGGGAUCAAUGGUGAAGGCAAAAUAUUAGUAAAGUUUUUUUCAAAUAAUAUGUACUAAUAACGAAAGCCACAGCUUGAGUUGGUCUCCACCUUGCUGAUAGAGACAAACUUGGUUGAUGAUUUACAAGGAAGCCUGAGAAGAUAACAUAGAAGCAUUUGGAAGUAAGGAUAUACUAUGCAUUACUCUCUUUCCAUUAGGCUACAAUCUCACAUUCUGCUGUUUUUAUCUUUAUAAACUUUCUUCAUUUCUGUCUAUUUGAAAAGCACUUAUAAUAUUACAUUUCCUAUUUUCUCUCUAGCUAAUCAUUCUCCCUUCACCCAUUACAGGGUAUCGAGAAAGGCCAAGUACAUAUCAUCACAUGGCUUCCAUGGGUUGGUAUGGGAAGACACACUGAAACGGAAAUAAACAGGAAUGAAAAAUCCCCAUAUAAAUACUCACUUAAUGCACCUCAACAUUAAGUAUAUGGUUAAUAGUUCACUUGGUAUCAAAGAAGGCUCCAUGAGGUACAGUUCGUGGCUGCUUGAUACACAGAAAUUCAAGCCAAACUGAGACAAAACGGCGUUUGCUAUAUUUUUCUAAUAAAAAGACAAGAUAUUUCAUCUAAAGCAGAAAAUCAACAGUGAAAAUUCAUGUGAAGAAUAAAGUUUACACUUCAGAGAACACAGUCAAAACUUACACUCAUUUCCUGCCUAAAUCAGCUUGAUAAUGUAAUGUGCCCUUGAAAAUUUUUACUGGAAAAAAGUUAUCAUCCAUUUCAAAUUGAACCAACAUAACCUUUUCCGUCCUUUCAUAAUUCAUCCAAACAAAAUGCAAAAGUAAGUCUAAAACUUAAAUCAUUAGUCAAAUUAUAUUUGUAAAACCAUUCAAAAUACCAAUCAAAGCAACAAUCCAUUAUUAAACAAGGCAAAUAAAGGAAUGUAAAAAUCAUCAAAUCUACACUAAACACAAUAUUUAGCAAGGCAAACCAAAAAAAAAAAAAAAAAACUAAAUCUUAUAAAACUGAAAACUAACCUUCCUGAGGGUUGUUAUAGUUGACAUAACCGUAACCAAGAGACCUCCGGGUUGACAAAUCCUUGCAAACACGAACCGUAACCACUUGACCCACCUGGUUAAAGCACUCAUAAAGCUGCGUUUCCGUCACACUCAAAUCUAAAUCCCCAACAUAAAGCGACGUCGUUACAAACAGGUCAUUCACCCCUCCAGCUCCAUUGUUGACACUCACAUUUUGCCCCUGAAUUUGAACCUGUGCCAUCUUUCUAAAAAAAAAGCCCAAAAAAAAUGCUUUUUUUCGAAGUUUUCUCUUUUUUUUUUCUUUUUUUUGGGUUUUUCUUUCUUCCCUCUCCUCUUGUUAUUAAUCAACAAAACCUAGAGAGAUAACUGAUAUUAACUAAACCCAAGUGCUUUGAUAAACCUUCCUAAAGAAGCAAACUUUCCUUUUUUUUUCUUUUUUUUUUGUGUUUUAAAGGGAGGAGAGGGAAGGGCAAGAAAGGGAAAUGGAUAUUUGCCGCCGGCUGAAGAUGAAGAGGCGGCGGCGCGUGAGAAUAUGAGGUUCAGAAUUGAGAAAAAGGAGAGGUUUUGAAGGAGUAGCAACAACCGCAAAGAAGGGAUUUUUUUUUCUGAAAAAACCCUAAGGCGGUUCCUAGGACGAGAUCUCCGCCGUUGGAUUUGGUUUUGGAGGACUUCUUUGUGGGGCCCAAAAUGACGAGGUAAAAGAUAACAAUGCUAACCAUAGAUUUUGAGGUGGAUCACCUCCGUCAGAAGGCGCGUGUGGGGUCUGAUGAGAAAGAAUGGUAUGAAAUCGUUACUUGUCUUUCUGUCAAAGUUUCAAAUAUAUCCAUACAAUCUAUGCAAUUUAUACAAUAAAACAAAAGUAAUCCUUUUGAAAAUGAUGAUAAUAUUUUUUAAUUAUGUGAUAAUUGAAUGAUAGGUAUUUAAAUUGAUUGUAAUGCCUUUUUUUUUUUUAUAAUCAAUCAAAAUUGUUAUAAUAAAUUUUUUAUUAUGAAAUUUUAAAAUUUAUUUAUCAUAAUUAAUUAAAAUUAUUAUAAUAUUUUUUAUUACAAUUAUGUGAAUAUUUUUUUUAUUAUUAUUGAUCAAAAUUAUUAUAUUAUAUACUUAUCAUAAUUAUAAAAAUGUCUCUUCCAUCACAUUAAAAUUAUUGGUUUUUUUCUUUAAAAAAUUAACUUAAAUGAGUGAUGAUAUUAAUAGUUUUUGAUUUUGUGGGUAAAUAAAUUUGAUUGAUAAUUGAUUAAAGUUUCUAGUAGAUAAAUAUUAUAUUGAUAUGUUAAAUUGUCAUAUAUGUAUUUUGGAUUUGACUUUAAUCUAUAUAAUUUUUUUAAAGUAAUCUCCUUUUAUUUAAAAUGAAAAUCAAUACUUAUCCAAUUAUAAUUGUGUGACAUAAUCAAAGUAUCGAUUUUUUUAUUUUUUUUCAAAAUAUUAUAUUUUUCAAAAUAAAAAACCAAAAAUUACUAAAAAUAUUUUAAUAUUUAAUUUAUUAUUAAAGUAAAAAAAAUUAAAUAAUUUAUAUUUCAUCAAAAUAAAAAAAUUACAACUCAAUCAUUACAAUAUAAUUUUUUUUCUAGUAUCUAUACUAUCUUAUAUAAAAAAAUAUAAGGGAUAUGCCAUUAAUAUUUUUUUUUAUUUUGCAAUUCUUUUAUAUUUGAUCGAAACCAGGAGGCAAAAGCUUCGUUCACAAGUGUCUUUUUAUUAUUUUAUAUUUGACAUGUGUAUUUUAAUUCAAAUUUUGAAACUUCUUUUUUUGGUUUCCAUUACAGCUUGAAAGAAGGAAGUUUGGCUUAAAAUAGUGACUUAUCUGGCGUGUAUUUCUUGGUUCUUUUUUCUUUCAUUAUUUUUUAGGCAUUUUUUAGUAAAAUUUUUACUUCUUUUUGUUGUUUAAUUGAAUGUGGGUCUUUUUUUUUUGGAUGAUUUUGGUGUUAUAGAUUUUAAUUUUGUUUAAUGGAGUUUGAUUGUUGAAUAGGGUUUGAGUUUUCUUAUCAUGAGAUUUACAUAUUGUUGUGAAUGCAAUUUUAUUUUUGGAAGAUUUUCUUUUUGCUUGUUUUGAUGUUAUAUAAAAAUCAAUUUUUAGUUGUUGUUUUAUUUGAUGACGCUUCUUUUUAUUGGUGUUGUAAUCAUUUUUUUUUAUAGAAACAUAGUUUUUUAGUGCAUAUUUUGUGAUGUUUUUUAAGAGUAUUUUAUUUUGCAUGUUGUUUGAAUGAAAUUGUGAUUUUGUUUUCAAUUGAUAUAUAUUUUUGAUCUCAGGGUUUUUUGAAGGUUUUUGGAUAUUAAAUUUUUAGGUUAGUAUAAAUUCUAUUAUGUAUUGUUCUGCUUUAUUGUGUAUUUUGAUUUGUUAAGUUAUAUGUAGCGUUUGUUUUUUAACAUUAUAUAUUUGAUUCAUUUGUUAUGCCUAUCAAGUGUUUGUUUGUUUUUUAAAAUUUUUUUCUUAUAAUGUCUUGGUAUAAUUAAAUGACGUAAUGAAUCAAACAACUUCAUCCCUUAAGGAUCGUGGUCAUGAUAGUUAAGUUUUUCUUUUCUCUUUUCUUAAGAAGUUUUUGUUGACAGGUGUAUUUCUUUUGGUGUUGACCUUUUUUGUUUCUUUCUUAAUGUGUUUCUGUUGAUUAGUGUAUUCCUCGUAUUGUUGUUAGAGUAAGUUAUAUAUAGUUCUCUUGAAAGCACUUUGAAUGUAAAUUUGAUUAAGAGAUAGGUUAAUUGGUUGAUUUUUUUUUUAAGCCAUGUUUUUCAUCUUUGAAAAAAAAAAUUUUGCCUUUUAUUCUUUGGAUGAAGAAUUGCGAACAUGUAACUAUUAGGAAAGAACAAAAAAAAUCAAAGUUAUCUUUUUGUAUUGAUAAACAAUCCACUUUGAAUUAAAAUUCUUUUCUUAAGAUGUUUUUAUUGACCUCUUUGUGUUUCUCUAAAUUAUUAUCUGAAUUAAGAUUUUUACCAUUGUGAGUUUAUAGGUUUUUCAAUGUUUCUUUUAUGUAUUUCAGAUUGCAUUUAGAAUUAACAUUUUGGGAUUUAAUUUGCUUUCCUUUUUUGAUGUAAAAAAAGGCUAUCUAAGUAACUACAUGAAAGAUAUAUUAAUAAUGUGCUAGGUCGACAUCUUUAAAGAGGUUCACUGUGUUUAAAUAUGCUUUCUUUAUAAUAUACUUUUUCAGCUUCUAAAUUGAUAAAGAGUUUUUAAGUUGAUAAGUAGUCCACUUUGAAAUCACCCAAAAGCCUAACUUUCUCAUUAGCUUGUUUAAGAACCGUAACUUUUCACAAACCCAAAUUAGAAACCUCAUUAAAAAAAAGACCUAAAUUAUCGCAAACAUUAAUUUUUUUAAUUAUCAGAAGUGUUUUUGUUCCAAACUUGGUAUGAAUAAUCAAGCAGAUAAAGCUAUCCAAAAAGUAGUUCAUAAGUCUGAGGAGUUUAAUAUAAGGUAGUUCUUAUUCUAUUUUCAUCAUAAAGUUGUGAACCUACACUGAGUUUUCUUGUUAAGCCUUUUUCCUUUUUAAACAAAUUUUAAUUCAAUGUCCUCUAAGAAUUGGAUAAUUCUAUCUGGACUUUCUCAAUUAAUAGAAUAUAUGAUUAGGAUUCCUAAUUUAGGAAGUAAGGAUUUUAAGUUGAUCAACUAAGUUGAUUAGGAAAUAAAAAAAAAAGGUUGAUUGAGUACCAAAAGAUAAUUAUGGUUGAUAUUUUACAAUAAUUGUUUGUAUUUUUAAAGACCAUAUUAUAGAGGUGAAUUGAAGAGCUGAUGAGUAAGAAGCAAAACCUUUUGGGGAUAUGGAUGUUAAUAAGGAUCUUGGUGGUGUUCAUUUUUAAAAAUCAUGCUUUAACUUCAUUAAUGAUUCCAGUAUUCCAUGUUCUUGCGGAUUUGAUAGAUCUUUGUAACCAAUUUGGUUGGUUGGCUUGGGCAUGUCUUUAAUAGUUUGAAGAUUCUGAUAGAAAGAAAAUGAUGCUUCAUUCUAACAUUAUUCCAUGACUUACUAUAGCAAUCAUGUUGCUUUGUUGUUAUUUUUCUCUUGCAAAGUGUGUUUCAACAUAAUAGUAAACCUCUUGUUUUUUUGCCAUAAAAAUGAACUUUCUUUAGCUCCAGUAAAAGUGCAUUUUAGGGAUGAGUGAAUUUUAAGCUUAUGAAAUUCUUUUGAUUUAUCUACUUAUUUUUGCUUGGAAGUUAUUCUAGAGGUAUUCAAUUUAUAAAUGAAAAACAAAAGGCAAUAAAAUUGUUUGUUUCAUCUUUUAUUCCAGCAGAAUAUCAAGUUUAUGAAUGAAAGAAUUUGAUUUUGAUUUGUUUUCAAUUUUCACUGGAUUCAUAAUUUAAGGUUUUAUUUUCUAGAAGAGGUAUUUAAUAGGCUUUCUAAAAGCCAAAAAUAGGAGGUGUAGCGUUUAAAUUUUUCUAAAUCAUUAAUACUUGUCUUAUUUUUGCUUAGAAGCUAUUCAAUAGGUUUAGCAUUUCAAUUUUAACAUUUGUAAUUUUUUUUUAUCAUUAGAUUGUGAUAUAUUUUAUAAAAAGUGUUAUUUUAUGGUGUAUAUUGAAAAAGAGUUUCUCCAAAGGUUUGUACCCAUUACAAGGAUUUUUUAUGGUGUAUACUAAAAAAGAGUUUCUAUGGUGUAUACUAAACCAAUGUGAAUUUGCCUAUCAUUUUUUAAGCUUAAGUUUAUCUCUCUAAUAUUCUUUUAUCUAGCAUUGAUACAACAUUAGUUUAAUUUUUUUAUCCGUUAAUUGUUCAGUAAAGUGAUGACAUAUCAUUUCCACGUCUUUGCUUAAUUUUACCAUGUGUGUUUUUUAAAGUUCAUGAAGAAUAGUGGCUAUAAUCAAGAUUUGUCUUACAAUCUGGACAGACUAGUAUUAAUGAUCUUACCUUAUAUGGCAUAUGCCAGUGCUAUCUUUGUUAUUCAUGAAUGCAUUUUUGUUUUUUGGCUAUAUAUUUCUUCCUUGAAAGAUAGUCAACAUAUAUAUUAAAAGUAUGAAAUAAUUAUUGUUUUCAACUUAGCUAUUUAUUGUUUGUAGUGAAAAAUGAUAGUAUUUAAUCAUUUUUAAAUUUGUUGACUAUUUUAGAAUAAAUUACAAGUGAUUGUAUUGAUUAGGAAGAACGAAGGAAUUAAAAGGCACUGAAAAUGCAAUUUUCCUAAGUUUUAUUUUAAUUUUACUUUCAAACAUUAAUUCAUAAUAUAAUUGGAUUAUGUAAUUACAAUGAAUUUUUUAGCUUUAUUUGAUAUUGGUUUAAUAUUAAAUGGUUCAGGUGAUAAGAGUCAUACUUUAUAGUGCUAUCCAACUGUUUGCUUAUGAAACUUAUAUAGCAAUAAAAUAAUAUGCAUAACCUAAUCUUAGCAUGUCUUACACUAUAUCCUUAGAUGAAAUUAUUUUUUAUUUUCAUUUCUUAUUAAUUUCUAAAAACUUUUCAAGGGAAAAGAUGGUAAAGUAUCUGUUAUUGGGAGACUUGCUGCUUAAAUUUAUGCAAGCAUGACAUUUACUACUAUAAGUGAUACAAUGAUUGAGCCUUCUUAUAUUUUAGUCUAUAGGUUGCUCGCUAAUUAAACCUCUGUAAGGACUUGUACCAAUUUAUUUAAUCUUAAAAGAAAUUAGCAUUAUCACUCGAAAACAUUUUUUAACAUUUUAUGGAUAUAUCUAUUUGGAUUCAAUUUGCAAUUAUUAUUGUGAUUUUUGUGACACUUAUUUGACUUACGACUCAUUAAGUAUUUUGAUUCUGUUUUGUCUUUUUUAUGUAUUUAUGUUUACUAUAAUCCUUUCGUAUUUAGUUUCUAAACAGAUUUUUCAUUAAAAAUUUCAAAAAUUAAGUAUGGUUUAUUAGUUUGGUUGUUUCAUUUAGAAAAAAAUUGUUAACAAGUCUUUUUUUGGAUUUAAAUUUCAGCCAUUAGUUAGAAAACAACACAAUAUAGGUUACAAACACAAGGUUAAUUAUAGUGAUUUUUUUUUGUAUUUUAUUUAGUUAUUUAUCUUAUGAAUUGUACUUUUAUGCUUAUUAUUUGUGUAAUUUUAGGCAGACGUUAAAACAACAGACCCAGAGCUUAAUUGACCAAAGGAUCAAAGAACAUCUUGGCCAAGUUACAACUUUCCAGUAGGUUGGAGUUGCUUUUAAUCAACAUCUAAUGGCUUAAAGGCCUUGACUUCCUAUUCUUCUGGCACUAGUCAUCCUCAUUCCGAAAGGUGCAUCGUUAUCUAUAAAUCAACCAAUGAUCAUCGGGAUGAGGCCUUUUGUUCUAUCAAUACCAAUUCCAGGUGCUUUAGGUAAGAUUCAAUUGUGGGUGUUUUAAAAGAAUUCGGUUACUUAAAUCAAAUUUGCAUUUCAAGCAAACUAAGUAGGUAAUUUUAUUUAGGUAUUUGGGUUAUUUUUUGUUUUGUUUGAUUUUUUGAAAGAGUUGUUAAACAUUAUUUCUUAAUUAGGUUAAAAGUGAGUGAAAAGCUUGGUUUUUUGUUUUGUUUUGAUGUUUUUGGCAAUAUUGUGAUAUUUGUCUCAGUUAUAAUUUUAGUAGGAUUGCAUGUUAGUUUUGUUUAUUUUUAUGAUUUUCAAUUAUAGAGUGAAUUUGUUAUUUGAUUUAUUUUCAUUGUUUUUAAUUUAUGAGAUCUUAUUUUUUUGUAGGUAUAGAUGAAAAUAUUAGGUUAUUUAAGUUUUAGGUAAAUUUUAAAUUAAACUUUUUGGUUUUUGUAUUGUUGUGUAUUUCUUUUCAAUUGUGUGUGAUUUUGUUUAUUUGAUUUAUUUGUUUCUUGAAUUUUUUGUAAAAAUACUUACUGAGGCCCAAUUAGUGAGUGACCUAUUUUUUGAAUUUAUUUAAUCAAUUGGUAAAGAUCUUUUCAUUGAUUUUUCCUUUUUUUUUUUGGGUUUAUUUGUUUAAAACAAAUCAAUUAAUCGUUUCAACCAUGUUUGGAAAUGAUUCUUCGAUGCAUUUGUCCUUGGGACAAGCUUUUUUUUUUUUGUAUUUGUUUCAUCAUUUGGUGUAAUUAGAAAAACUAAAAAUCAAAUUUUUGUUUGUUGAUUCUUUUUUUUUUAUAUACCUAAACAUGAAAAAGAGUUAAUAAUUUAAAAUAGUAUGGUUCUUUUUGUUUGCUUUCAUUUGAAGUGUUAAUAUCAGCUUGAAUAUAGGGUUUUCCAAGCAAUGAAACUCCAGAUUAUGUUCCUUUUGAAAUAUAAGAGUCUUUGCAUGUUAAAAAAAAAAAACAUUGAUGGAUAGUUGGCCACUAUUUAACUUAGUAAUCUUUAGUGAUUAAAGUUUCAAUCCUUUUUGGUUUACAUUGCAUUUAUAGGGACUUUCAAUAUACAUAAGAACAAUGCUUUUUACCAACGUAAGGGAUUCAAUUUAUAUUGGAUUUCUUCUGAAUUGUGUAUAGAGUAUAGACUCUAUGUUAAUCAUUUUUGUAUUUGUUUGUUGAUUAGUUUAACUUUUUUUUCAGACUAUUCUGAGUGCAAUAAGGAGUUGGUGAGAAAUCAACGACUAUUAUUGGUGCAACUUUUCAAGUAGAAUUAGCAUAUCAUAUACAUUUCUAUAUUAAUCUUUUUCUUAUUAUCAUACUUGAUUUGUGAUAAUUGGGAUUUUUAUGGAAUCCUUUAAGAAUUGAAGUGAGUUUUAGGUCUUCUAAUAAUAAGUUUUGAUUAUUGUAAUUCUUACGGUGGUUCUUGAUAAAUCUAACAAGAAUGUUUGGAGGCAUAUUAUUAACAUAUUAUUAGGUUUACUCAUUUAGACUUUCUUGGUUUUAUUUUUUCUUUUUCUUUACCAAAACUAUCUUUUCAAGUUCACAUUGAGAGACUAAUACUUUAAUGCUUUUCUUUAGGGAAUCUUGAUAGUAACAGGAAAAUGUGGUGUUUAGUUGCAAAUCUUGUAAAUGAUUUAAGUAUGUUAACGUUUCUUCUAGAGAAAUUUCAUUGCAGCAUAAUAGAAUGACUACAGAUCUUCGACCUUUCUCUCUCCCAUACAUGUAUGCAUUUACGUGGAUCAAAAGAUAUGCACAUGGACAGAGGAUAGUACACACAUAAGUGUAGAGACUGUUCUAAUUAGUUUACUAAUUGCUUUAUGUUAAUUGCACAUAUCACUAAGUUUAAACUCAAUCAACUAACAAUUAAAUAAAAUAUUAAUAAUGUUCAUAGCAAACCAGGCGAAAGUUGGGCUUCCCGCACUAAUAUGUAUAAUCAUAAUGUUUGCUUAUUAUUAUAAAACAAACUAAGGCAUUAGUGAUGGGAAGUAAAAUGCAAAUUGGUUUAUUUUUUAUUUGAGUAUCAAAAAUUAAAAUUUAAUUAUUAAAAUUAAAAUUCUAGCAUUCUAUUAAUAAAUCAUAUUAAAUUGAUUUGAUAAAUAAAACAAAAUUUAUUUGUUUUUUAUUAUUAUAUCAUCAAAAUUUAAAAAAAAAUGCAUAGAUAAAAUGUGCGAAGUUAUUUACACAACAAGAAAUAACUUGUUAUCAUAAUUGCUAAGCACCUGGCGUGUGAUGUAGUUUAUUUCCAUUUUCUUAUCCAUUAAUUAAUGUUAAAUAUAUAAGAAGAUAGCCUAUUUUUUCAUAUUUAUUUUUUUACAAAGUUAGAGAUCAUAAAGUUAAAAUAAUGAGUUAUAAUUGUUAAAUUUUAAAUUUUAGAUUUUUUUAUAUUUAAUUUGACUUAAAUGAAUUGCUAUGCUAUUAAUGCUAUAUGUAUAGACAUACAUAUUGUCUGCGGUUGAAAUUAAAAGGACCGUAUGUGAUAUAACAAAAUGAUAUUGAAAUGUCAUUAAAAUACCAUUUACUUUGGCAAGUUGAAUCCUCAAUGAUUUUUUUUUUUUUUAAUGAAUGAAUCCUCGAGGAGUUAGGUGGUGCUAUUACACCAAAAUUUUUUUUUUAUUAUCAUUAUAUUUCAGUUUCAUUGAUUUUUGAAAAAAAAAAUGUAAUUGACAGAAAUUUAUUGCCUGUUUGAGUGAAAUGUAUUGUAAAAUAGUUCAAUAUUUUUUGUUAAAAAAUUAAUGAAAUCAAUAGUAUAAUGAUAAAACUAAUAAAAAUAAAAUUUAUUUUUAAAUUAUAAUAUUUUGAAAAGUUUGACCUUAAUCUCUAUCUUUUCAUAAACUAACUUCAAAAAAAUUACAAAAAGUUAAAAGUUAAAAUUCUUAUUUUGCUUUUGUCAAUUUACCAAUUUCAAUUCAAGUUGUUUUUUUUUUUUUUUUUUUUAAAUAAUGAAUGAAUAUAUAUAAAUAUCUUCAUGACACUAAUUAAAGCUCAACACAGAGCUAUGAAAAUAAGUAAAAUUAAACUGUAAAUCUUAAGUUAGAGUCUUUAAUAUAUAGUACUUUAUUAUGAAGAAAGAAAAGAUUUUUGUACAUAUGUUUCAGCAUAUAAGAAUUUAAAAAUAUAUUUGAUACGUAAGAUUAUGAUAAAAUAUGAUAAGAUUAUAUUAUGAAUAAGAUUAAAUUAAAUAAUAUCAUCAUAUUUGAUAUGUGCCAUGAUUAAGAUAUGAUAAUUUAUUUAUUGAUCAAAAUUAUCUUUUUUUAAAAAUUUAUAUAAUUUAAAUUAUUGAUAUAAUUUUUAAGGGUAUAAUAAAACAUAUAAGUUUAAUAUUAUGGAUUAAAAAUAAUUUUGUCCAUUUUGAAAGAAUUGAAUAAUUCUAUACUAUGAAGAUGAUUAAUUUUCUUUAUAAUCUUAUCAUUUUUUUUAGAUAUAAAUCGAAUAUAAUAUAAAAUGAUUAUUAUUUUAUUCUAUCCAUUAUCCGUAUAUUUGAAAAUUAUACAAUUUUAUGUUUUGGUUAAUUCUAUGAAAAUUAUAAUCAUUAUUUGUUACUUUUAAGAAUACAUAACAUAAAUCAUACGUAUCAUUAUAUAAUAUAUGAAUGAAAUAGAAAGAAAAUUAAAAAAAAAUAAAAAAUAAAUAUAUAUAUAUAUUUAUAAGAGGUUCAUAUCGUAACUUUUAGUCUAACCAUUUGUAGAAGUAAAAAAUAAUCUAUUAAUAAAAAUAAUAUCUCUAUUUUUAUUAUCAAUCACAACAGAUUUUUAGUGGAUCUUAAAAGUUUUUGAAACUCACUAAUUAUGAGUUCGGAUCUUAUGAACUCAUAUUGUGAGAGUUAUCGUUAAACUUUGAGAUGGUUUAACCACAACCACUAACUAUUAAUUUAUAAUAAAUAGAUAAGAGUUUGUUUUAAAUAUUUCAAUUUGAUAAAUUUGAUUUUUUGUUAACAAAUAUGAUUUUAGUUAAAAUUUUGUGAUUAUGAUCAACACACAUUAAAAUUUCCCAAAAAGUCUUGCGAGAUCGGAUUAUAUUUAUUUGAGAAAAAUUAUACACAUUUAUCAUUCUAUUUUGUGGUUUGUCCAAAUAUAUUAUUAAGCUCAAUGUAAGAUAUAUUUCAAUGAAGAUUUUGAAAGAAUUGAUCGGGUUUGCACUAAUUUAAUUUGACCUUUAAAAUCUUUAUUUAUUUAUUUAUUAUACAUGAUUUAUUAUUAUUAUUAUUAUUAUGGCAGAUUUGCAAACUUCGACUGUAAUUGAAUUUACUCUCACAGCAGCUACAAAAGUAAAAAUUACAAAACAUCUAAUAAUAGGUCCACCCUUUCAAAUCGCAGCUCUUCAAUGAUCAUGCUAUUACUAGGGAUCGAUUCAGCUCAUGAUUCUCCUUUCUAAAGCAAUGAAAGCCAACGUAAUAUCAAUCUAAAUCAGAAUCAGCAAAUGAAUCUGCAAAAUUUUUCACCCAAAACCCACACAAUCAAUUUAAUCCAAAAGAUAGAAGGCAGUGAAAGUGCAUAUUCAGUGACAGCAAUCAAUUAUAAAGCAUUAAAGUGACAGUAUUGAAGUUCCAAAACACACUAGGAAAAGUAUAGAAUCAAACCGGCUCUAUCCUCCUAAUGAAGCAACUCAUUUGAACUCAACAAAGGCCACACUACCAUAGCAUUUAAGGAGACAACUCUAGCAGGCAUUCAAACUCAGGAGACAAGGUUGUCGUUUAAUGACAAUGAAGCCAGCUGAUCAGCAGCAACACCAGUCUGCUGCUGCUGAGCAACAGUCCUCAGAACCUCCAUUGCUUCUGCAACCUUGGCUUUUAGAGCAUCAGGUGACUCAAGCAAGUGUAAAACCUCAGUCUGAUCCAUUUCCAGAAGCAUCCCUGUCACUUUAGCUGCUGCGUCAGGCUCCAGCUGUUCAACAAGUGGAUAGAGAUUCUCCCCCAGCAUCUACACAUAUUCAACCAAUGUAAAAAUUUCAGAUAACCAGAAUAGUAGUAUAAGUUUUUCAUUUUCAGAAACUUGAACUGAACCUUUUUAAAAAGGAAUAAUUACAAAAACGCCAUAGCAAGUAUUUAGCAUCAUUUAAAUGUAUGAAAGAAGGAAAUUAAAUGUUACCAAUAAAAAUUCACAUCUUAAUAGGGGAACUCUAUCCUUUUUAAAUAUUAGGGUAUAAUACUCUUCAACAUAAAUUUUAACUUUUGUAAUUAACCCUUCUAAAAUUGACUAAAAUGCGGUACAAGUAUAAUCUAAACUUGGAGAGCAUAACUAUACAGAACAUAAAAAUAACAAAUAAAUAAAGCAAAGCAGUGCAUACCGUUCUUUGCUGAUCUGGAGUAGCAUUUGCAAGUGCCGAGGCCAAGGCUCCUAUUGGAAUUGGCUGAGAAAGUGAAGUAUCACGCAUUGGCAUGCCACCCAUAUCAUAUGGAACAGCAAGCAUGCCUCCAGCAACAUUGGGCAUUGAAACAUCAGGUAGGCCACGCCCUGAUGGAUAGCGAUAGACCCGCCCUCGGGGUAGAAUCUGAUAUUUAAAUGAACCAUCAGAUGAAGUAUUUACAGAUAUGAACAUCUUUAUAAAAGAUAUUACAAAAUCCAAGAAGUGAUUAAACAAACCUGCUGUUGCAUUAAUGGAACCGGUUGCUGACUUUGCUGAAUGGCCCCAGCCCUUCUGCCACCAGGACGCUGACCCUGCUGGCCUUGCUGAACCAUUGGCACAAAGAAAUUUGGCAUGGGAGCCCCACCAGGCCUCAUACCAGGGAUAAGCUGCUGUUGAUAUCCAAAUCCAGCCUGGCAGGAAAAAAAUAAAAAGGUCCAUAAAUUUCUAAAGCAGGUCUACAAAUACAUUGAUUACUCCGGAAAGUUAAAAUAUACCUCUAUGACUAAGAAUGCCAAGAAAUAAAACGCAAAAUAAAUAUUUACCUGAGGAGGAAAAAUAGCAGGAGGUGUUUGACUAUAGAAUAUUUGCUGCCCAAGACCUGGACCACCAGGUGGGUACAUUGGCAUACGAGGUGUAGGUGCCAUUGCAACUGGUCGCAUUUGAGAAAAUUGAGCCUGUAAACAACCCAUUACAUGCUUGAGCAUACUAAAGAAUCAAAACCAUCGUAUUGCCCCAGACUCAAAGCAAAUAUCAAGAGAACAUACCUGCAACCUAGCUCUCCUAUCUUCCUUCCUUUGAGCUAGUGCCACAUAGAGAGGUUUGCUUACAACCAUUUUGCCAUUCAUCUCCACAAGCUGUCAUAAUAAGAAAAACUAUUAGCUUAUGAUAAGAUCAUGAAAGUAAGGACAGCAUUCUCAUCUUACAGCUCUAGAUGCUUCUUCUGGAGUUGAAAAUGCAACAAACCCAGAUCCUUUACUUAUUCCAUUAGGGUCUCGCAUAACCUGUUAAAUUAAAUAAUUGGCAUCAGUCAACCGAUUACCAGAAUCCAUUGAAUUUAACUAUUCUAGAAAACAUGCUAGCAAACCUUGCAUGAUGCUAUGGUACCAUAUUGAGAGAAUAACUCUUUAAGUUUUUCAUCGCUUAUGCUAUCAUCCAAAUUCUUAACAUACAAAUUUGCACCUUGAAAUUUAUCCGCUGCCUCUUUCAUUGUCUGCUCAAAUUUAAGUUUCAGUUCAACCUCCCUUUCAGAUUUUUUUUGAGCUUUCCCAACAUACCACUCCUUAUCAUCAAAUUUCUUUCCAUUGAGGGACUCAACAGCAAUAGCAGCAUCAUCUGCAUUCUCAAAGUUUAUAAACCCAAAGCACUUGGAUUUCCUAUCUGGUUCCCUCAUCACCACAGCACUAGUGAUUGGACCAAAUUCACCAAAAAUGUUCUUCAAAUCUUCUUCACUUGUUGAUUCUGAGAGAUUCUUUACAUAGACAUUGUUAAAUUUUGUCUUGCUAAUAGAAGUGUCUCUUUCCUGCUUUCGAACAAAGGGGCCCACAUACACUUGCUUAUCAUUAAGUAGCAUACCAUUCAACUUCUCUAUUGCUUUUUGGGCAGCUUCCUCAUUGUCAAAUUGCACAAAGCCAUAACCUUUUGAAUUGCCAGAGGGGUCUGUGGCUACCUUGCAAGAGAGAAUGUUUCCAAAUGCAGAAAAUGUAUCAUGCAAAGCUUUUUGGUCGAUGCCCUUAUCUAAAUUCUGCCAGAUCCAACAAGAACAGAAAACAAACAUAAAAUAAACCAUAUGAGAUUUGUGAAAAACAGAUUAUAAAACAAAGCUGCAUAUGAAACCACACGAUUGUCAAUUUUUCAUUGCCUUGAUAAAUAUAUUCCCAGAGCCACUUUUACGAAGACUAGGGUCACGGUUGGAGUACAUAAUCCGGAUAGGCUUUCCAUUUAGAGGAGUGAAAUUCAGAAGGUCCAAUGCCCUUGCAGCUGUAAGUAAACAGAAGAGGAUGUCAUGCAGAAUAAAGAGCAAACAUUUUGUUUUCUAGGAAUCAAUGGUGAAGGCAAAAUAUUAGUAAGUUUUUUUCAAAUAAUAUGUACUAAUAACGAAAGCCACAGCUUGAGUUGGUCUCCAACUCCACCUUGCUGAUAGAGACAAAUGUGGUUGAUGAUUUACAAGGAAGCCUGAGAAGAUAACAUAGAAGCAUUUGGAAGUAAGGAUAUACUAUGCAUUACUCUCUUUCCGUUAGGCUACAAUCUCACAUUCUGCUGUUUUUAUCUUUAUAAACUUCCUUCAUUUCUGUCUAUUUCACAAGCACUUAUAGUAUUACGUUUCCUAUUUUCUCUCUGGCUAAUCAUUCUCCUUUCACCCAUUACAAGGUAUUGAGAAAGGCCAAGUACAUAUCACCACGUGGCUUCUAUGGGUUGGUAUGGGAAGAUACGCUGAAACGGAAAUAAACAGGAAUGAAAAAUCCCCAUAUAAAUACUCACUUAAUGCACCUCAACAUUAAGUAUAUGGUUAAUAGUUCACUUGGUAUCAAAGAAGGCUCCAUGAGGUAAAGCUCCUGGCUGCUUGAUACACAGUAAUUCAAGCCAAACUGAAACAAAACGGCGUUUGCUAUAUUUCUCUAAUAAAAAGACGAGAUUUCAUCUAAAGCAGAAAAUCAACAGUGAAAAUUCAUGUGAAGAACAAGUUUACACUUCAGAGAACACAGUCAAAACUUACAUUCAUUUCCUGCCUAUAUCAGCUUGAUAAUGUAAUGUGCCCUUGAAAAUUUUUACUGGAAAAAAAGGUAUCAUCCAUUUCAAAUUGAACCAACUUAACCUUUUCCGUCCUUUCAUAAUUCAUCCAAACAAAAUGCAAAAGUAAGUCUAAAACUUAAAUCAUUAGUCAAAUUACAUUUGUAAAACCAUUCAAAAUACCAAUCAAAGCAACAAUCCAUUAUUAAACAAGGCAAAUAAAGGAAAGUAAAAAUCAACAAAUCUACACUAGACAGAAUACUUAGCAAGGAAAACCAAGAAAAAAAAAAAAAAAAAACCUAAAUCUUAUAAAACUGAAAACUAACCUUCCUGAGGGUUGUUAUAGUUGACAUAACCAUAACCAAGAGACCUCCGGGUUGACAAAUCCUUGCAAACACGAACCGUAACCACUUGACCCACCUGGUUAAAGUACUCAUAAAGCUGUGUUUCCGUCACACUCAAAUCUAAAUCCCCAACAUAAAGCGACGUCGUUACAAACGGGUUAUUCCCCCCUCCAGCUCCGUUGUUGACACUCACAUUUUGCCCCGGAAUUUGAACCUGUGCCAUCUUUCUAAAACAACAGCUAAAACCCACCCAAAAAAAACCUUUUUUUUUCUAGGUUUUCUCUCUUUUUUUUUUUUUUUUGGGUUUUUCUUUCUUCCCUCUCCUCUUGUUAUUAAUCAACAAAACCUAGAGAGAUAACUGAUAUUAGCUAAAACCCAAGUGCUUUGAUAAACCUUCCUAAAGAAGCAAACUUUCUUUUCUUUUCUUUUCUUUUUUUUUUUUUUUUGGUUUUUUUAAAGGGAGGAGAGGGAAGGGAAAGAAAGGGAUAUGGAUAUUUGCUGCCGGCUGAAGAGGAAGAGGUGGCGGCGCGUGCGAAGAUGAAGUUUGAGAAUUGAGUAAAAGGAGAGGUUUUGAAGGAGUAGCAGCAACCGCAUAGAGAGGAGUUUUUUUUCUGAAAAAACCCUUAGUUGGUUCCUAGGACGAGAUCUCCGCCGUUGGAUUUGGUUUUGGGGAACUUCUUUGUAGGGCCCAAAAUGACGAGGUAAAAGAUAACAAUGCUAGCCAUGGAUUUGAGUAAAUUUCUUGAAAGGUCACUAACUAUAUUAUGUCAUAAAUCUCAAUUAGAUCCUUAAACUUUAAUUUAUCUUAAUAAUGUCACUCAAAUUUGUUAAAUAUAUUAAACUUAGCCACCCUAGCAGAUUUCAUCAAAAAAAUAACGAAAAAAUGAUAAGACUGCCGCAUAAAGAACCAGGUAGUCUGUCACGUAAGUUUUAAAAUAAUUUACCACGUCAGCUUUUUUUUCACCCAAACCUAAAAAUUUUCUUUUUUGUCCUUUUAUCUCUCGAGUUGUCGAUGCUUCCUCUCUUUUCACUCCCCUUCGACAGUCAUUGGGUCAUGGUAAUAUUUUUGUGCUUCGGAAUGAAGUUGAAGAAAAAGAAAUUAUUGGUGGGUUUUGGAUGGAUCAGGGGAUCGAGAACUUGUGUCUCAUGGAGUUCGAGGAAUAUACUAUGGCUAUGGCGCUGAAGGACUAGAGAAAAAAAAUGCAAUGAUUAGAUUGGAGGAGUUGAGCAUCCAAAAUUCUACUUGUUUAUGGCCAUGAGCAUCCAAAACGUAAGUAUAAAUUUAUAAGUAUUUUUGUUGUUUCUAUUUUUUUUAAUUUCUCUUUUAUGAUAAAAUUUGGUUUUUGAGAAUCCGAAGCUGAAAUUUUGAAAUGGGUUAUGUUUGGUUUUCGAUAAAUGAAGGAAAAUUUAAUAAAAAUUGGAAGUUAUAAACUUGAAAAUUUUAAUCCAUUCAACCCCAUCUUGGUUAACUUAUACCUAAAUGAAAAUUUUGUUUACUAUUGGCUUUGGACCCUGAAGCUUAAUUAUAGUUAGUUUGGUUCUGAUUGGUUGUUGAGAAAAUGGAGGAAAAAGAAAGAGUAAAUUAUGUAGCAGGAAACUUGAUUUAAUCAACUUAGGCCAUGAUAAAUCCUGAAAGUUAGUAGCUUUAUUAACAGGUUGUGCUUUACUGGGUAGCUGCAUUCUGGUUCAUUGGGUCUUGGAUGAUUCCUUUUGCAACUCACAUGACAGUGUUCAGCAAGGAAUCUCUAACUUUCAGAGGACAAGCCUUGUUUCACCUUAUAAUUGAAGCAACUGAAGGCCUUGCUGGGAUUGCAACACGCCAGCGCUGUCUGUCUCAGUUUCAUCCCCUUCCAUCAGAUUGGUUUAAAUUUAGCUUGAGAGGGCAGUGGCAUUUUAAUGUUGUGCUAGGAUGCCUCAUGUUUCCUGUUGUCAACCGAUUAUCACAGUUCAACCUCAACUUGUUGUCCCUUAUGCCUUCUGCACCUGUAACCCUUACAGAGCACGCGGUACAUCAAUGCUCCACGACUCUUAUAAUAGUGCAUGUGGGAGUGGUUUGAUUACAAAAACAAACAUGUUAGCUUUUGCAACAUCCUUAGUCAUCCGACAUUGAUCCAUCUCUCAUGUACAUGAUCGUCGAGCACUGUAUAAAAAUCAAAUGGUGCAACUGAUAUUUUCACAUCUUUGUCUUAUUUUUCCAUUGAAGACCCUUAUUUCUAACUAACUACAAAGUAAAUAUACGAGAUCAAUACAAUUAGGCUAUUGUCUUCGUUGGGGGACUUGACCAAUGAUGCAGAGCUCAAAUCUUUAUCUUGUCAUAUAUAAAAUGCUUACAUCUGUAAGUCUUCUGUUUUGAAGAGAUGAAACAAAGUACUUUGAAAAUCUAAGGCUCAAAUUUGCAGAACACAUCUAAUGAUAUUUUUCAAUUAAAACAUUAUCAUCAAUCCAAAAAUUUAAGCACAAGUUGACAAUAUAUAUGACAUCCUCAACUCAUUUAUGCAAAUAAUUUUUUUGGUAGAUGAAACAAACCCUUUAUUACAAAAUAAAUGUUAUCUUAACAUUCUCACUAUCAUCAAACUUCAAUUUAAAAUGGACUAUUUUUAACCAUAAAUGCAAGAGAAUAAUUUAUGCAAAAAAAAGGUAAAAGCUUAUGUUCAAGCAUGCUCUCUCCCCCUUGAGGUUGAGGUAGAUCCUCUACUAUUUUGAGAUGCUUGAGUCAUGAUUCUAGAUGGUAUCAGCAGAGCUUUUAACAGGUAAGAAAGAUCCAAUUUGUGUUUGGCUUGUACUCUGAGUAUAACAUUUUAAUGUGCAUGUUAAUUUAAUCAUAAUACUACAAGGUCAUAAAAUAAAAUAAAAUGGGCACUUACAUCAGGCAUCCAUUGGACUGUAAACAGAGGUUGGGGAUAUUGGGUGGCAGUAACUAUAGAUUGUUGUUGCUGGGAAGAUGAGGAAGCUUGAUUUUGUGAAUUCUUUCUCUUGACCUAUGCAUAAUGAAAUAAAUGAGAGACAUAUAAUACAAGUCAAAUACAUACAAUGAAUAUAAAAUAAAGUAAAAUGUAAGCAGUAUAACACACUGGUAAUUUUUCCUUAUAUUUUCAGAGGUGGUGUUGGCUUGAAGAAACCUCUUGUUAUGGCCUUUUUGUCCACAUAUGCUACAAGUCAUUUUCACUCCAUGUUUGGUUAUUUUAUGAGACAGUACAGAGGCAUUUUCUUUCUCUUUAGGUUCUUUUCUCCUCUUUUAUUGUUUCCUUCCUUUUUUUUUUUUUUCUUCAGGUAAUGGUGGUGGGAUGACAGGACGUCUUCCACUUUUAGACUACAUUUGUUUUCCAUUAAUUGGAUGAACAAUAUAACCAUAAAUCUACACAAAACAAAAAUGAUUGAAAGAUGAAUUAUACCAUUAAGUUAUAAAAAAAAUUAAAUAAAUAUUCGAUAACACACCUUCAAGUAAUUCUUUAUUAACAUUCAUCCACAAAUGAUCUAAUUUCUCAUGAUAGAUGCAAGCAAUAGCAUGUGGACAUAGGAACCCUGUUAGUUGCCAUUUUCUACAAAAGCAUUCAUAGGCUUCCAAGUCAACCACCAAUUGUGUAUUCGGAGGGUCCACCUCAUGCAUUAAAAAUGAAGGAUUUGGGCAAUGCACUUGAAAGCUUUUAGCACCAGACCAUUUAGGAGUACGGUUGAAUGAUUGUUCUUUGGCUUUAUCUAACUUCUUUUGGAUCUUAGGACCUAUGAGGCUAGAGUAUUUUUUUCAUGGCCUCUCUUUUUCACCCAUAACCUUCUCAUUAACUUACACCUAAUCAUCUCCAUCAUCAUGAGUAUUGGUUUAUUCCUAGCAUUUAGAAUGUAUUUAUUAAAACACUCACAUACAUUGUUAAGUAACAUGUUAGAUUUAACUCUACUCGAGAAGUAAGACCUAGACCAAUGCCUAAAUGGUCUUUCACACAACCAAUCAUGUGCAUGAGACGAAAGCCUAUUGAUCUUUCUCAUCCAUCUAUCAAAGUCAGCUACAAAAGUUGCCUUAGCAGCAUUCCAAAACAAGUCUUUUAAGAUUUUACCUUUAUGGCCCUCAUUAUCUCCAAAGUUGUUGUACAUGUGCCUAACACAACAUUUGUGCUCAGGCUUAGGAAACAUCUCUUCUAACGUUUACUCUUAGUCCCUAUAAGAUACAAUGAUAAAAAUAUUGAAAUUAAUAAGUGUAUUUAUUAAAAUAAAUAAACAUUCAAAUUAUAAGAGGAGCAUACCUUUUGUUUAUCAGGUAUAAAUGGCCAAUCAUAAUUGUUUUCAAUUCCAAUAUCCUCUGAUAAUAUUUUCAAAAACCAACCCCAACUUUCUUUAUCCUUUCUUUCAACCACAGCGUAAGCAAUUGAAAAUAUGCAAUCAUUUGGAUCAAAACCAAUAGCAACUAGCAUCUAUCCACCGUAUCUCCCUUUUAACCAAUACCCAUCCAGCUAAAAACCCAUCUUUACAAGCAUGAAAACAAACAUACAUUUUUUGAAAUAGUCUAUUGUCUAAACCCAAAAUGGUUCUACUCCCUGAAUUUGUCCUCAAAAUCUCCUCGCAGUAAUCUUGAAGGAUUGUAUAUUGUUCCUCAUCAGAACCCUAAAUCUUUCUAAGUGCGUAUUGCUUAGCUUUAUGUACAGUUAUCUUAGAGAUAUCUAACUGCAACUCUUGUCUUAGUUUGUUUUGCAAGCCACUUGCGGACCAAUUUGGAUCAGCCAUAAAAUCAUUCAAAUACUUCAUUCCAAGAAACUUGUAAUUAGCAAAUUUAUUCUCAUAUUCUUUGUUGCAUGUAUGAGUAUCAACAUAAGUUUUUAUCUGGACAAUGGACCCGUUUUUAUAAUGGCUAACCCAAAUCCUCCAAGGACAACCACUUUUGCAUUUUGCUUGACCCGAUACUUGUCAUUAGGAUCAAAUUUGAUUUUACAGUUAUUGAUAAUUGAAUAUUGAGUACAGGCUCACUACAGGGGUUUUGAUUUUUAGUGACGUUUUUUUAAUCAUUUAGUGGCGUUUAUUAACGUCACUAUAAGGUUGCGACAUUUGUGAAAAAACGUCACACAGAGUGUCGCCUAUACACGCGUCGCGGUAAAUAACGGCGUUUUCGAAAAAACACCUCAAUAUUAGCGGCGUUUAUAUGUGAAGCACCGUCAUUUUAGUGGCAUUUAUAUCUUAGAGACGUCAUUAUUUUCAGUGGUGUUUUUAUGAGAAAAAUGCCAUUCCAUUGAAAUCAUUUGUACCAAAAACGGUUGUUACUUUGCAUGACGUUUGAAUAUGAAAACGCCUCAAUAUUUAUGACGUUUGUAUCUUUUAGGCGCCACUAAUUCAGUGGGCAUUGUUAUGAGAAAAAUGCCAUUGCUUUAGUAAUGUUUCUAUAAAAAAUACCACUGAACUAGCGGCGUUUACUGGAAAGAGCACCGCUACUACUAGUAGCGUUUUAUGCUACAAACGUCACUAAAUUAUUCAUUUAGCGACAUUGGCCAACACAAACGCCACCAUUAUGCAAAAAUGUUUUUUUUUACAAUUUUUAUAAUAAAUUUUAUUUUCAAUAAAGAGUUUAAAUUCAGAAACUAAAAUUAAUAUUAACUUCAUUCACGUUUAAAUAUACACUUAAUUAAUACAAAGUUUAAUAAUUAGUAUAAUAACAUUCAAAUAUUGUAAAUACAUUACCUAAAUAAAAAAUUAAAAUGUAUGAAAUGGAUGACUACAUACAUUUUGUUGGCUCCCAAUUGAUGAAGAAAAUUUUUCACCUUGAUCACUAGCGUGCUCAACAACCUACUAAAUAAUACCAUACAAUUUUUAACACUUCAUUGUAUGCUUAUUUUUUAUUUAAAAAUUUUAAUAUUUAUUAAAUAUAAUACCUGAGUUGAUGGAGCACCAAGAUCAUUUCUUGAAAAUUGUUGUUGCAUAAAAUUCAUAAGAUGAUCGAAUCGAUCAUACAACUGCUAAAAAUUUAUAAGCUUUAGCUUCAUUCUAGUACGUUCUUCUUCAAUUUUGGCACGCUCCUGUUCUCUUUCUGCUUUCAUUUGCUGAAAAUGUUGUUGCAUAGUUUGCAACUCUUCUCUCAAUAUUGAAAUAUCUCGCGAAGACUGAUUUACUGAUAGUGUAAAUUACAUAGAGUUAUAUCCAUAGUAGGCAGAUGGUGUUGGACCCAAUCCAAGGCCUCGGACCCGUCCAUGCCUUUUUUUUUCAACAAUUUAUAUGAAUAUUCGAUUUUUCAUUUCUUGCAUGUUGAAAGAACCUUCAGAUGUUACUUCAAUCUCAGCGAUCAUUUUUUCUUUCGCUUUCUUUUGUGAAUUUGUCAUAUACAAUAAUCAAGUUUAAUGACUAAUUGAUUAUAUGUUAAAAACAGUUAAUAUUUACUUUAUGUUAAAAUAGAUGAUACAAAUUAUCACAAUUUCUUAUGUUUCGACAUUCAUGUAAGAUCCAUAUUUUUUUGUGUGUGUUACACGAAAAAGUUUCACACAUCCAAUUGUACUGUCCAUCUCAUUCUCCUAUACAAAAACAUAUAUUAUUUGAUAGGAUACAUAUCAACCGUAACUUAUUUAUGUAUAUCAAUCCUGUCAAUCAAGUAUUAAAAUUUUGAAUAACUUUAAUCUCUUUUAUUUAUAUUUUAGCUCUGUAACAACACAAUAGUCUUAAAUAUACAUAAAGAAUAAAUGCAUUUUAGACUUUUACACAUAUCGAUCAUAGAAACCAUAUUCAAUUAUUUUCUCUCGGUUUAAUAUAAAGGAUUGAAGUCAUUCAAUAUGUUGAAAGGCAUCCAAAAUUUAUUUGUAUAUUUACUUUUUAUAUGCAAAAAUAUUCCCAAACAGAGAUAACGAAUAACUUUUUCUCCCAUAUCCACCAUAGAAACCAAUUUCAAUCAAUUGGACAAGCUUAACAUCAAGUAUUGAAGGUAUCGAAACUAUUAAAAAUCAACAAUAACAACAACCAGAUAAUAAAGGCGUAAAUAUACGUAAACAAUAAUCUUUCAUACAUAUCAUCUGUGUAACUAAGUUCAAAACUUUUGAUAAGUUUAAUAUCAUGUAUUGAAACAAUCAAAUCUAUUAAAACAGAACAAUAAAUGUUAAUUUCCAUAUUUACCUUUCAACGGUAGAAAAAGUUCAUUAAUUAAAAUCAGUUAAUUAUCAUAAACUUACGAUUUCUUUUUACUUUCUACAAAACUUUUUGAUCAACUUGUGUGGCAUAUUUCUGUUGCUUUCUGCUACCAAUCCCAAUCUGUUAUCUUUCCUGUCAUAAAAAAUAAUUAUCUAUAUGAUAGAAAUACGAAUAUUAUCAACUUAAACCAUCAAACACUUUCAUCAUUUCAUUAUAAUAUACAAAGUUAUAAACUACUACCUUUCCUUUUCUUGAGAACUAAAAUCUAACCAGUUGUUCAUAUUAUCACCUAAUCACAUUACGGGAUAGAUUUUGCAUCAUCGCCUCUACAGUACUAUUUCGAUCGAAAUACUUAUUCUUCAAACUAUGCUUAUAAUCUUUUCAUUUCUUUCCCAAGGACUUAAGCACAUAUGAAGUUGGUAUUUCAAGUACAAAUCUUGACUGUAAUAAUACAAUAAGAAAAGUUUGAAUAAGUAAACAAAAUGUAAAAUAAAAAAUUUGAAUAUAUCUAAUUAAUUAUACUAAUACCAUAAUAAAGUUUAACGCAUCGGCCUUAACUUCUUCUGGAAUAUUAUGCCAUGUUUCAUAAUGAAUAGGUAAUUUCAUUCCAUUACGGGUUAACAUACCUAGAAAUCCAGUCAAUAGUUGAGCCUUUUCACCAAUUGGUUGUCUAUCAUAGUUUGCAAACAUUACAAUACGCUUGUUAGGAGGUAGUACAAAUAAUUCUUUCAAAGUUGUCCGACCUCUGGUCCUCCGUUGACCAUUAUUAUCAACUGCAACAAAUAUAUAAUAUAUUUGUAAAAUUGUAAUACUUUUAUGAUUAUACUCAAAUUCUAAAAUUGGUGUCUAUCAUACCUGCAUUCGAAUUUAAAGCAUAAUCAAUUGAUGGGGUACUAUUUAAAUCUGGACCUCCCGUAUUGCCUGAUCUAAUAUUAGUUGAAAGGUUAGAAGUGAUGGAGUUAGAUCUAACAGUACGUUUAUUUCCCUCAAAAAGAUUCAGUCCAUAGCCAAUAUCUACAGGUGCCGUAGAUGGUUCUGAACUAAUAUCUCUUAUAUGUUUUUCUUUCAACCUAUUUUUCCGUAUUGUAGCUUACCUACAUCAUAAAAAAGAAUAUAGAAAAAAUUUUAGUUUAAAAGAUAUAUAAAGACAUUUUUAAUUUAAGAAAUCAAGACCUACGAUAUAUAAAGAACAUAUCGAUUUAAUUAAAUCAAAAUGUAAUGAAUGAUUUAGAAGACAAUCAUUAAACAAUAGCGAAUGUGACAUUAUUUAGAUACUAUUAUUUACUACAUUAUGUCUUAAACACUCGAAUUACAAAUUAUAAGUGCACAGAAUCAUGGUUCGUAAAUGUCUUCAGUAACAUCUUCGCGAACCUACUGAACGUUGGUACUGGAGAUAUUCUCAUCCAAGUUUUGUUCAACAAAAGGAUAACAUUUAGUUUCAUGUUUAACAUCAUCUUUGGUAUCUAACCCCAUAUCAAAUAAGUUUCUAGGUGUGUUUCAAAGAACAACAAACCAACCCAAUUCUUUUGGAUCUUCAAAGUAAAAUAGUUGUUUGACUUGAGAUAAAAAUACAUAAGGUUCAUUGAUGAGGUGUUAUCCUGUGUGAAUUAAUCUAGAAAAGUUAACAAAUGAAAAUUCGUACUGAUUUUUCUUAAGACCCCUCUCAUUAUUUCCAUCUGCCCAAUCACACCGAAAUAAGAUAACUUUUCACUUGCCAUAUAAUCCAACUCAAUGAUGUCAUUAAUCAUGCCAUAAUAGUCAACAUUUUCUUUUAAAAGAUUUGUGUCCCUAGCACUAGCAUAGCUAGUAAUUGAUGAAGUCACAACAACUUUUAAAUUGUGUACUUCUAAAUUUCUCACGAGAUUUUAUGUGAAAUCUAAAUCCAUUGAUGAUGAAACCUUUGUAUCAUUUCACAAUUUGGUUCAGAUCGUGUGAAAGAUACUUCACCUCUUCACUAACAAGCCUUCCACUUCAAACCUAUAAAAGUGAAAUAAAUAUAUAUAUGUUAUUAAUGUUAUUUUUACCGUAAGCAUUCUAUGUAGAUAAAAAAUAAUAAAAAGUAUGACAUUACUUACAGUUGCUCUUAACCAUUCAUGAAAGUUUUCAACGAACAACUUAUCAACCGUUUGAGGGUUUGAUCGUCGAUAAUGUGCAGGAUCUCUCAAAUUAUUUUUAUACUCAUUAAAAAGUAUCAUGAUAAAGUAUUAAUACAAAAAAAAACACAAUAAAUAAUAUCUACUAUAAUGUAUAAUUUGCUUGCUAAACAACUUACGUGCGAAACGAUUCAAUUGAGUCAUGAUGAAAAAAAACAUAUUGAUGUGCUUGUGUCCAAGAUUUAUCAUCUAAUUCCACCAAUUCAGCUUUGCCUAUGGGUUAUCCAAAACUUUAAAAAAGAUAAUUGUAGGCCGAGUCUGUAUGCUGCAUUUCAACAUUUCUCGAAGGUCUAUUAAAUCUCAUUUCAACAUCUUUCAAAUAACGACAACAAAAUAUCAUACACUCUUUUGCUAAAUAUCAUUCAACAAUAAAAUCUUCUGGAUAGCGUUUGUUGCGAUAAUAAGACUUUAACUUCCCCAAAAACUUAUAGCAUAAAACAUUAGUCAUAUGUUAUUUUAAGCAGAUUGGCUUGAUAAUCAAUAAAUACGUAAUCAAUAUAUUAACAAAUAAUACUUUUCAAUAUGAUACAUCCAUUGAUAAUAAAUUAGCCCAUCGACCUUUGCUUCAUAUGGAAGAUGGAUAACCAAAUGCAUCAUAAUAGUAAAAAAGUUUGGAGGAAAGAUUUUAUCUAAAUGGCAUAAAGUGAUCGCGGCUUGAUCUUAAACUUUGUCAAGCUCUUCCACAUUCAUAUAUUUUUGACAUAGAGAUUUAAAUAUGUUACUCAAUUCAAUUACCACAGAAGUCACUUGCUUUGACAUUGAUGAGCGUAAAGCAAUUAGAAGUAAGUCUUACAUCAAAAUGUGAUAAUCAUGUAACUUCGAUGAUGAUAGUUUUUACGCUUUUAUAUUCACACAUCUUGAUAUAUUUGACGCAUAGCCAUCUGAAACUUUGAUAUUUUUUAAAACCUUACAAAACACAUCUUUUUCGAUUUUAAAAAUCCCAAAACAAGCAGCAAACAAUCAAUAUUUACCAUUAAGAAGCAACAUCGGAUGAAGGUCUGGGUAAAUCCCUAUAUCAACUAGGUCAAGUCGACUCUUUAAGUCAUUUUUGGAUCUUCUAUUCACAUUGAAAAUUAUCCCAAUAAAAUUUUCGUAAACAUUCUUCUCUAUGUGCAUGAAAUCAAGGUUAUGGCGUAAUAAAUUAUAUUCUCAAUAAAGUAACUAAAAAAAUAUACUUUUUUUUCACAACUCAUACUCAUUGGGGUCAUCUACUUCAUCAUCCUCUUCAUCACAUUGAACAUCAAGAUCACCAACUUCUAUAUGACUAUCACCAACAUGCGUAAUACGAGACCAGACACUUUCAAAGAUGUCCCUCACUCUUUUUUUUAUGGAGUCAUUUUUUCAUAUGUGAAAUUGAUAUCUUUUAACUUUGACAAGAUAGGAGACCCACUAAUGGGUAAAGACGAUCUCCUCAACUCUUUAGUUUCAUCAAAGAGAUAUUUUUGAAAUCUAAAUCGAUGAUUAUUAUAUAACCAUCGAUGAUGUCCCAUAUAACAGAACUUCCUAUCAUUACGUAACCACAUCCAACAUGUCUGUGCAGCAUAAUAUGAACAAGCAUAAUGACCUUUUAUACUCUAACAAGAUAAAUUCGUAUAAGCAAAAAAAUCGUUGAUAGUCUAUAACAAAACAGCACGCAUAUUGAAGUUCUCUGCAUUUGAUGCAUCAUAGGUAUCAACUCUUUCUCAUAAUUACUUUAACUCUUUAAUAAGAGAUUAUAAGUAGAUGUCUAUAUGAUUAUCCAAACCUUUUUUUUUAGGAAUUAUCAUAAAUAAUAUAAAUGAUUAUUGGUUCAUAACAAUCCAUGAUGGUAAAUUAUAAGGAAUCAAUAUGAUUAGUCAAGUACUAUAAGAAGUACUCAUCAUUUAGAACAGAUUGAAUCCAUCAAAUGCCAAUCCAAGCAUAACAUUUUGAGGAUCAGAUGCAAAGUCUGAAAACCUAGAAUGAAAUAACUUUCAUGCCAAAGAAUCUGCAAUAUGCCUUAAUGAUCCAUCACCCGUCCUUUUUUUAUGAUGUUACCUCAUUGAAUCUACAAUUUUAAAAGACAUGUAGAGUCAUUGUAGUCUUGGUAUUAAUGGAAAAUAGCAUAAAACCUUAACAAGCUUUUUUUUGACAUAUACCUCAUCACUAUCAUUAUUCAACCUUUUAUCGAGGUUUCGGUCGACCCAACUAGAAAUACCACAUAAAUGACAAGAUUUUUUAUUUUUUCUAUCUCCCCAAUACAACAUGCAAUCAUUAGGACAACUAUGAAUUUUUUCAUAUCCGAGACCUAAAUUCUUGAUUAUCUUCUUUGAUUUCUUACAAGAUUCAAAGAUUUUACAAAAAAGAAAUAUUUCUUUCAUAAACUGUAAUAAUAAAGUUAGAGAGUUUUUCAUCUAUUCACAUAAGCAUUUCAAGUGAAAAAGACAAACACAAAAAGAUAAUCUUGAAUGCUUCGAUCCCUCAAAAAGUUUUUCAUUCAUCUCCUCAAACAACCUAUAGAACUUUGAUGUUUCUCCUCUAGGUUGUUAGUCACGUACACUUAUCCCAGGUUCACCAAAUUCAUGCAUUUCAAUAUUGGAUUGAUUAAAUCCUUCAUUUUCAUAAAAAAGAUUACAAAAAUUUUGGUUAUGAAUGUUAAAAGCAUCUCACAACAUGCCUUCAAUGUCAUCUGCUAUAAAGGGAUCGUAUUGGUGAUGGAGAGCCUUUGAUGUUGAAGAAACUAUAGUGGAAGACCUUAAUGGUACAAAGUCUCCAUGCAAAUACCAAUUAACAUAUCCCAAUAGAAAUUCAAUACAAAUUAAAUGCUUAUAAACAACUUGACGCAUAUUAGCACAUUUCACAUAUGGGCAUAAUAUCAUGUUAUCUUUACUUGUAUUCUCAAAUAUAAAAUUAAGAAAAUUUUUCACUCCAUCUCUGUACUCUUUACUUAAUCUAGACUUUUGCAUCCAACUUUUAUCCAUUUAUUAGUUGCUACAUAAUCAGACCAAAUGUAUAGAAACAAUUAAUAUGAAAACGAACAUGUACAAUUGCAUAGCUUAUUAUGUUUUAAACAAAAGAUAAUAACAAGACAGUACUUACACAAAACGAUAACUUCUUGCUGUGAAGUAAUUUAUUAGCUAUCAAAUAUUAUGAUUAUUAAAACUCUACUGCUAACGUAGACAGUACCUAAGAGUAUAUGGUAUUGGGGUUGACAUAAGGUGAAAUAAGGUGGGUUUUAUGGAAAAUUUUUUCAUGAAAAAAAAAUCGUGAUUUGCAAGAGCUGAAGAAAUAGUCGAAUUAAGUAAAAGCUAAAGUCAAUAAGUUAUUAAUAGUCGAAAUAGGAUUCUAAAAGAUAAUGCUCGAAUACUAAAAGUCGAAGAAAAGGAAAAGUAAAUUGUGCUUGGUCUAAAAAGAUAUAAUGAUGAAGAUAAAGCUUGAAGUUGGUGAUUGGAUGCGCUAAGUUUGGGAAGAUUUUUAUUGGACAUGAUUAUAGAAGGCGUUUACUAACAAAAAAUACCAACAAUAAUUGCCUCUUAAAUAUUUUUUGAAUAUAUUAUAGGCGUUUUGAACAUAUCACCAUAAAAUUUCAACACUAUUAUUGAAGGCGUAUAUCCAAGAAAUACACCUUUAAUAAAUCAUAUCACAGUUUAUGGUUAAUUACUGAAGGCGAUUGCAGAAAACAACGCCUUAAAAAUUUCAGUAAAAAAAAUUUCAUUGAUUAUUAAAGGCGUCAUUUAUUAUGACACGCCUUCAAUAUACUACGAUGGUAAUGGAAUGCGUUUAUUUGAAUAGACACCUUCAAUAUAUCUUUAAACUUAGUAAUCCAUUACAUAAGGCAUUUGUUAGAAACAGACGACUUCAAAAUUUUUUCACUAAAUAUUUUGAGAAUUAUUAAAGGUGUCUUCUACUGUAAAAUACCUUUUAUAUACCACUACACAUAUUGUAACACUGUUAUUAAAUGCAUAUAUUUAAGAUAGAUGCCUUUAAUAAUUCCUAUCACAGUUUGUAUAUAAUUACUGAAGACGGUUUCAGAUAACAAUGCUUUCAAUAAUUUUUCUAAUAAAAGUUUUCAUGAUUAUUAAAGGCAUAUUUUAUUAUAAGCCACCUUUAAUAUACCAUGAUGGUAAUCGAAGGCGUUUAUUAGAAAGGGCACCUUCAAUUACUAAAGGCGUUUGUUAAUAACAGAUGCCUUCAAAAUUUUUUCACUAAAUAUUUUAAAAAUUAUUAAAGGUGUCUUCUAUUGUAAAAUACCUUCUAUAUACCGCUACAUAUAUUGUACUGUUAUUAAAGGUGUAUAUUUAAGAUAGACGCCUUUAAUAAUUCCUAUCAUAAUUUGUAUAUAAUUACUGAAGGCGAUUUUAUAUAACAACACCUUCAAUAAUUUUUCUAAUAAAAGUUUUCAUGAUUAUUAAAGGCGUCUUUUAUUAUAAACUGCCUUCAAUUAAUCGAAGUCAUUUAUUAGAAAAGGCACCUUUAAUUACUGAAGGUGUUUGUUAAUAACAAACGCCUUCAAAAUUUUCUUACUAAAUAUUUUAAAAAUUAUUAAAGGCAUCUUUUACUGUAAAAUACCUUUUAUAUACUGCUACACAUAUUAUAACACUAUUAUUGAAGGCGUAUAUUUAAGAUAGAUGUCUUUAAUAAUUUUUAUCAUAGUUUGUAUAUAAUUACUGAAGGCAGUUUCAGAUAAUAAUACCUUCAAUAUUUUCUCAAAAAAAUUUUCUCGAAUUAUUAAAUGCAUAUUUAAUUAUAAGCCGCCUUCAAUAAUUUGUUAUAAAUUUUGGAAAUCCAUACUUAUUGAAGGCUGGUUUUUUUUCUAAAAAUGCCUUUUAUAAUUUUUAAAAUUUAGAAAAGGUGUUUUUUUUUAUAUAAAAAUCACCUUUAAUAAGUUUGGUGCAUAAUUUUAAAGGCUUAUAAUUAAAGGCAUUUUUUUUUUAUAAGAAACGCCUUUUAUAAUCUCCAAUAAAAUUUUCAAGUGAUUAUUGAAGACGUUGUUCCAUGGAAAUGCCUUUAUUAAUUAAUUUUAUAUUCAUUUCCCUACCUUGAACAUAGGAAGUUGUAGAGUCUUGGUACAUAUAAAGAUUAUAAGCUGCGUUAUUCUACCAAAUAAAUCAAACCCUUAAACACAUUUCUACCAGACCAUUGCUUUCUUUCUUCAAUUUCUCACCUCUAACCUUUAACAAAUCACCACUACGAACCUCUGUUUUAAGUUGGUAAGUAUUUUUUUUUUAGUUUACUAUAUUAUUUAUGCCUUCAAUAGAUAAUUUUUAUUUUUUCAUUUCUUUAAUAUUGGCAUAUGCAUUUAUAUAUUUUCAUUAAUAUUGGUAAAUAUGCUAUUUUUAUGUAGUACGCAUUCCUCUAGGUUGUGGUUUGCUGAACCUUGUUGACUGAUAUUGUAUUAUCGAAUGAUAUUGUAUGAUAGUAGGGGUCUGAAUAAUAUUUCAUGCUGAAUGGUUUGCUGAACUUGUUGUCUGAUAUUAUUUUAUUGAAUGGGUUUGAAUGAGGGCUGAAUGGUGUUUCUGAGUGAUUUGCUGAAGGGUGUGUAUGAGCACAUUGUUGAAUGAUGUGUUAAAUAAUGUUUCUAUUCUCAGUAUGGUAUUGGUUGUAUUAAAUUAAGUACAAUGAUCAAUUUAGAAGGUCAUAUUAUGUAAUUCGUAUAAUUAUGAUCAAUAUUACAGGUAAUAUGAACUCUGAAUAACAUUAUUCUCCUUUUAAUGAACAUGCAAAAGAAAGAAGUGUAGGUCAAAAAAGAAAGAGAAUGGACCCAAAUAAACAAAUCAAACUGACUGAUAGUAAAAUUCAUUUUGACUUUAAUCAAAGUGGGCAGCCUGUAUCAGAAGGAGCUGCCAAUAUGGCUACUCAUAUUAGAGCCAUCGUCCGUAGGAGAAUUUCAAUUAACAACACCAAUUGGUGAUGAGUUUCUGAUGAUCUAAAAGAUGAGAUAUGACAGUCCGUUAUGAUAUGUUUAUGUAACUAUUUCGUAAACAUUGUUAUAUGGUCAUUUAAAUGAAAUUCAAUGUAUUGAUACUAUUUAUGUUAACUUAUUUAGGAACGGUUCGAAGUCCCAAUUGAGUGUAAAAAGAUUGUAUUACAAUCUACUGAAAAAGCUUUCAGAGACUUUAAAAGCAGAUUGACAACCCAAUAUAUUUUACCGAUGGCUGGUGAAGGUGAUGUUUUGGUUGUUCCACUUAUGGCAUAUACAGUGUUAUAAGUGUAGAAGAUUGGAUAAAUUUUAUUCAAUAUCAACUUUCAGAAGAUUUCUCGAUACACAAACUCAUUACCAAAUUAAAAUCAAGUUUAUAAGUCUUUAUGCAAUAUAGCCUUUGAUUUUCAUAUGUGAUUGACGUAAUUUCUUCAUUUUAUAGAAAAUCAAAGAACAAUAUCGAGACAUUCGGGCCAAACAAAAAUAUCACCAUCGGACAGUAAGAAAAGGAUAUGCAACUGUGAAGUAUGAGCUUGUAUGUCUUCGCACACUUGUUUUAUACUAAUUAAUGAAUAUUUAUGAAUAUUAAUUUCAUAUAUUCUGAUUCUUUUAUUGCGAUAAUUUAAUAGGAAUUAGUAAGCUCAAACACAGAAGUUUUCAAAUGGGAUGUCUAAAAACAAGGACAUCUUCGAAGGAUGGAUCCUUCGUAGAUGAAGCAACCGAGGAACUAGCAAAAAAGAUUGUAUGUAUAACUGCUUUUUUGCUAUAAUGUAUGAUUAGCAAUGUGAUUGUAUACAUGAGUGUAUACUAGCUUGUGUAGAUUUAUUCUGACAGUCUAACUUAUUAUUAUCUUUCAAGAUGAUUAUGCUGCCAAAGUAAAAUUUGGUGAAUUGGCAACCCAAAGUAAAAUCUGCUAAAGAAAGGCCUGGUCGAGUUCGUGGGGUUGGUAAAUUUGUCUUGCCAUCAAAGUAUUUUGGUAAACAAGCAAAAACCUCACGAAUGAGAAAUGUAGAAUAUGAAGCAAUAAUUUCACAGCAACAACAACAAAUUAAUGACCAAGAGCAAUGCCUCAAUGACCAACGACAAAGACUAGUUACUUUGAAGUCUAUAUUGGUAGCAAUACAGUAGGUAAUGCUAGUACCCCAGCCUAAUAGCAUCAUCCCCGUGCGAGAAGCUGUCGAUGUAAGUAACGAAGUGAUCUCAUCAUCUGUUACCACCCAAGAAGUAAGAUUUUUGUUAUAAUUUGAAUAUUAAUUUGAUUAUAAUAUUGAAUGAUUUGGUUUUAAUACUUAUAGAUAAGUUUAAUAUUGUAGGAUGAUGUUCAGCCUCAACGUCUGACCCUUACUCAAGCUUCCAUGGAUGAGUUAACAAAAUAUUCAUUGGACAAAUGUAUCGGUGAAAACUUCAUAUCCAUUGAGGCUGAGGAAGACUUAUUUGAUAAACAAUCAUUUUCUUUUAUUGGUAUGGAUGAGGUGAAAGAAUUUUGUGAAAUGGAUGAAUUAUCAGUUGCUGAAAUCGUUACUUAUAUAAGAUAAGCUUAAAAAUACAAAUAUACAAAUUCAAUAUGUAGUAAGUUAGUAUUAGGGUGUAAUAUUAACCAGCAGUGUUGAUUGUUAUAGUGUAGCUUCUUAUAAAGAGAGCUGAAGGGGAGACAGUUGACGAACAGAUUUCGAUUCAUUGACCCCAACUUCAUUAGUGAGUAGAGUGGCAUAGUCAUGUAUCGUGCUAAUCAUGUGAUCCAAUGCAUGAAAAGAUCAAUUGAUUAUUAUUUGCUCCCGUAUAAUGUGCAGUAAACUAUAUUCAAACCUUAAUUACUUCAACCUACUCCAUUCUAUGAUCUGAUGUUUAUUCUGAGUAUAUCAUUGUUAUUAUUUUACAGUCGUCAUUGGGUGCUUAUUGUGAUUGACACAAAAUCCUUAACACCAUACCUUCUUAAUUCAGUUAAUCUAACAUGGAUGCCUAACCCCGAUAUUGAAACUUUUAUAAAGAGGUAUUACUAUACUUUAUUAUAUUACACAUGUUUUGUUUCUUUAUAUUGUAAUUUUUUUUAAGUUCCCACUAAUUUUUUUUUCAAUUUAGGGUAAUAUUUGCAUUCAAUAAGAAGAUAAAGAAACUGAAAUGGGUGUCAUGACCGAUAAAUGUCAAAUUUAUUCUUUUAAUGCUGAGUUUGUAUAGAUAAUUAUUUUUUAAAUUGACUCAAUUUAAUUUUCAGGUUCUUCGUCAACCCGAUAAUACUGAAUGUGAAUAUUAUGUCCUUCAUUUUAUGCGAAAGAUUGUGUUACAUGAUUUUAUGACCACACCACUCAAGGUUAGUAUAAAUUUCAUAAACUUGUUAUAUAUUCAAAAAAUAAAAUGGUACAUUAUGUUCUCAUUUCUUAACAUUUACUUAUGAUUUUUUUUAGUGGAAGGGUAAAAAAAGCUUCACAGAAGAGGAGCUGGAUGAAGUCUGUAAAAAAUGGUGUGAUUAUGUAUUGUCAUUUAUCAAUGUUGAUAAACCUUCAGGUUAGACAUUGUUGGUUGAUUGUAAAUAUAUAUGGAACAAAUUGUUAUAAAGUUGUUAACAUGCAAUGUUGAAUGAAAACUUUAAGUUUGUACAUUGGGACCAGAUAUUAGUUUAAUAUUAUUGAUAUACUUAAUAUGAAUACACUAUGUGUAAUUAUUAAAUUACUGAGUACGAUUAUUUCAGAAAAGUAUAUUAAUAUGGCAACGUUAUCAGUUUUAAUUUCGGAUAUAUGGUAAAUUUUUUUGGAAUACAACAAUGUUCAUUAUACAAAUUUCAAAAUGUAAUUCAUAGUAUCAGAUAUAUAAACCAAAUAUUUUUUAGGUAUAAAUAUACAACUGAUAGCAAACAUUUUUCUGGGCAUAAAUGUACACUGACUUCACAUAUCAAUUAUAUUUAUUUGAUGCAAUUAAUGAAGGCAUUUUUAGUAAGAAAACGCCUUCAUUUACCUCUACAAAAAAUAUUGAAGGCGUUUUUUUACCAAAAUCGCCUUCAAUAAUCCCCCUAGAAAAUUAUUAUCUGAAAUGUUAAAGGCAUUUUGGGCAAAAAAUGCCUUCAAUAAUACCAACUAAAAAUAAAUCGAAUGGAUUAUGAACGGCAUUUUCCUACGGGUAAUGUCUUCAAUAAUCCCAACAAAAAGUUAUGAAGGCGUUUUUGGAUAUAGCCGUCUUCAAUAAUCCUACCAUUAAAAAUUAUUCCUGCGAAUAUUAAAGGCGUUAACCCAUCCAAAUUUUGUCUAUGAAAUAUUGAAGCGUUUAUUAUAAAACCACUUUUAAAAAUUCAAAACAAAUUUAUUGGAUUAUAAAAGACGAGUUCGACAAAAAAAGCCUUCAAUAAUCGACCUUAUAUUUUUUCUAUCGAUUAUUAAGGGCGUCUCUAAACAAAAAACGCAUUCAAUAUUCUAUGAUAAAUUUUUUAAAGCAAUUGGUGAAGGCAUUUAUGCCAAGAAAAUGCCUAAAAUAAUCAAUACCAAAUAAUAUGUGCCUAAACCCAAAAAAAGCUUGAAAGACGGAUCGAACCAAUAAUCUUAUGGUAAUUAAACAUCCGUACGAUCCUAACAAUUUGAUAAGUUUAAUAUUGGUUGAGUUUUUGAAGAAAAUAAAUUUAAUAAGACUAAAGAAAUUUUUGGUCUAAAUAUUAAUGUCGUUUCUUGUAGACAACGUCUUCUUUAAUCUCAUACAAUUUUUUAUGACGUGAUUAUUGAAGGUGUUAUCUAUCAAAAAUACGCUUUAACUAUUCAUCGAAACUUUUAAUGAAAAAUAUUCAAGGUGAUUUAGUCGAGAAGUGCCCCUAAUAUCAAGUCUUCGGUGGCAUUUAUAAGUAACAAUGCCACUAUUUGAAUAUUUAGUGGCAUUUAGAUAAUAAAUGUCUGAAGUUUUGUAAAAACACGGAAGCUAGCGGUGUUUGUAAGUGAAAGGCCACUACAAAACUGUCGCUAAUACACCAUUUUGCUAAAAUGGCUACUUUAAACUCUUCAAAUGAUUUAAACAACAUUCCCUUUUUAAACUUAAGAUUACUCAUAUCCAUAUAAACAUUAAACUCAGGUCAUCUCACCUUCUUUUUAUCAAUAUCAUCGUUACUGAAACUACCAUUAUGCAACUCAUUAGAAGAGGAAUACUUUGAAAAUAUUUCUUAUAUUUCUUUUUAGAUACUAACAUGAGAUUUUUUUAAUUGGUUCAUGUCUUUCUCAAUUCCACUGUCUACAAAAACCUGAGACAAAUCAUCAUUAUUCUCUAAUAUGUCAUUGUCACUAUCUCAUGAAAGUCACUAUCAUCAUUGUCACCAUCUUCUUCCUCACCAUUUUCACCAUUUUCCCCUUAUAAUUUUCUCCAUUUUCAUCUUCAUUCAAUUAUUCGAUCGCAACACUAAAAUUACAAGGCUUAUUUCCUCCAGCCAUCUUUAACCAUGUUUUACAUAUAUCUCAACCAUAUUUUCUCGAGGAACAUGAGCACCACUUUCAAGCACAUCAUUAUCAGACUUUAUUUCUCUCAAUCCCUCACUCAAUUUUUUAAUUGGAAUCCUCCAAAAGUAAGUCUUUAAAUUAGAAUAUCCUAAUUUCUCCACUACAUCAUCAAAGUCUAAAAUAGACAAUUCAUCAAUCUUACAAUUGUCUACAAAUUUCACGUCCCCAACAUAAUAAACCAACUCUUUUUGUAUGAAAAAUAAUUCACCCCUGUGAUGGAUUUCUAAGGUAAAAACAUUAUAAUUUUCUUGUUUCCCUACAUGUUUAGAAAAAAUAAAUAAUGCUAAACAAGUACUCAUCCAAUUUUAAUGAAAAAAAAUCAAUGUUAGAUUAAUAAAUUAAAUACACCACACAAUUCCAUCAAAUAUUUAAAAAAAAAAACUUAAAACUACGGUAUUUUUUGAAUAAAAAAAAUUAAGAUUGAAGAUUUCAAAGAAUAAACUAAUGGCCAUUGAAAACAGACAUACAUAGAUCAUAUAAAACCCAUGAAAGCCAUAUCAAAUAGAAGCAUGAACUCAUUUUUUACUGCAACACAACACAAAACAAUAAUAAUAGUGAUAAAAAAACUAAAUAAAAUCUACAAAAUAACUUUCUAACCUCUAACAUUAGACUUUCUUCUCCUUGGUUCCAUUACAAUCAAUUGAUUGUUGGGAUUUACCUUGAAUCCCAUAAUCCCACAUUGAAAGUUAUGAGUUUGAGUUUAUCUUGUGUCAUACAUUAGUAGUUUAUAUAUGUAUAAGGGGUUUCACCCUUAUAAAUAAAAUAUUUUGGUUUUAGUUUGAUAAUUUUAAAUAGUUAGACACCAAGAGAAUAGCUAGGUGAGUAGGCUAUUAAAAUGGUAUAAUUGGGUUUUAGGUUAAGUUUUGAGGAAGGAAUUUUUGGUAACUUUUCUCAUUCUAAAAGUCUCUUAAUUGUAAAGAUCUAUUUGAUAGUGGAUUAGAUUUGGGGUAGGCCAUUUUGAGUUGGGUCGAAAUAAAUAUAUUUAUAUGUUUUUAUUCUUGAUUUGAGUUUAUUAUUUUGUUCGUGUGCUCUACGUGUAUGUGUUGAUUUCCUAACAAGUGAUAUUAGAGCAAUGUUUGAAGUUUUGUUUGUGUGCUAUUUUGUUCAUGUGCUCUACGUGUACGUGUUGAUUUCCUAACAAGUGGUAUUAGAGCAAUGUUCAAGGUUUAAGGUUCGUGAGAAGAAGAGGCAGGCCUAAGAGAUCGUGAAGCAAGUAUUUUAAGAUGUCUGAAGAAAGUAUAUCUAGUAUGCCUAUGUCUAAGUUUGAGAUUCUAUUAUUUGAUGAAAAGAGUAAUUUUAUGUUAUAAUAAAGUACAAUUUAAGAUUUGUUAGUACAACAAAGAUUGGAUCAGACAGUAGAGAGUAAUAAGCUUGAGAGAAUGUUUAACAAUUGUUGAAAUAAAAUUUAAAAGAAAACUGUUAGUACUAUUGAUUGAUGCUAACCCUAGAGGUAAAGUACAAUGUGUUGACUGAAAGUACUUCAAAGAGUUUGUGGUAUAAGCUUAAAGGUAUUUAUGCAUCAAAGUCGUUGACUAACAUAUUAUGUUUGAAGAUGAAUCUAUAUUCUCUAAAGAUGAAAUAAAGUACGAGUCUUCAUAAUCACCUGAAUAUGUUUAAUAGAUUGGUUUCUCAAUUGCUGAUGAUUUUUGUUAAUGAGUUAAAAGAUGAAGAAAAGGCUUUAAUUUUGCUAUCAUUUUUGCCCAAGUUUUAUAGGUCUUUAGUUCAGACUUUGUUAGUAGGUAGGUCUACUUUGAAGUUUGAUAAUGUAACUGCCCUGUUGCGUAAGAAAAAAAGGUUUAUGAGAACUUAGAACUCAUCACCUAGAAGAGUACACUAGCUAUAUAGGGUUUUGAUCGAGAAAGGACUUAAAAAAAAUUAAUGGAUCAAGAGAAAGAUUCAAGUCAAGAGACAGAGAUUAUAAUGACAUAGAAUGUUAUUAUUUUGAUAAAAAGGGAUAAUCCAAACGCUACAAGAAGCAAAUAAGAGAUAUAACUGCUUUCAAAAAGAUAAAUGAUGAAAAGAAAUCAGAUGCAAAAAAGAGUGAUACUACUACUAUUAUGUUUAAUGAUGAUGAUGUCAUUUUGAUGACUUGUGUAGAUGAGACUCUGACUUUGAAAGGUGAUAAAGGCUGGAUUUUAGAUUCAGCUACUACAGUCCAUGUUUGCAAUGAUAGGAGUUACUUUAUGAAGUUGGAUGAAAAUGAGAAAUAUGGAGAUAUUGUGAUUGCUAACAACGAAAAGGUGCAGAUUCAAGGUAUUGAGAGUGUUUGCUUUAGAUCUCAUAAUGGUGUUGUUAUGACACUUCAUCAUGUAAGGUAAUAUCGAGUUGUAGCUACGAUUUAAUUGCUUUAGGUGAGUUAGCUUUUCGGAAGUCCACAUACUAUGAUAAUAAUGAUUCAUUGAAAGGGUACAAGAAUGGUAGUGUGAUUCUACAAGGAAAUAUGGUUAAAAAUUACUUGUACAUACUUGAUAGAGGUUCAGUUGUUGGGAUUCUUGUGAUGAAAAAAAAUAAUAAAGGCAAACGUAUCAAUUUUGCAAAUAUUGUUGAAGUAUUUGAAGAUUCAAGUCAAUAGAGGAUUUAUUAAGAUUUACCUUAAAUCUCAUAAUCCCAUAUUGAAAGUUAUGAGAUUGAGUUUGUCUUAUAUCCCAUAUUAGGAGUUUAGUAAAGGUAUAAGGAGUUUCACCCUUAUAAAUAAAAUAUUUUGGUUUUAGCUUAGUAAUCCCAAAUAGUUAGACACCAAGAGAAUAGCUAGGUGAGUAGGCCUUUAAAAUGGUGUAAUUGGAUUUUGGGUUAAGUUUUGAGUAAAGAGUUUUUGGUGACUUUUUUCAUUCUAAAAGUUUCUUAGUUGUAAAGAUUUAUUUAAUAGUGGAUUAGGUUUGGAGUAGGCUAUUUUAAGUUGAGCCGAAACAAAUAUAUUUGUGUGUUCUUAUUCUUGAUUUGAGUUUACUAUUUUGUUUGUGUGUGCUAUUUGUGCAUGUUGAUUUCUCAACAUUGAUCAUUAUCAUAACUCACCCAUGGUAGUCAAUCCUUUUCACUCAAACCAUAAAUGUAAAUAAAGAACAAAAUCAAAAGAGAGGAAGGAAAAUGGAAGCCAAGAAAAAAAAUGGAAAUGUUUGGGCUAAUGAUUGUGGUUUAAUUAAAAAAAAGAAUAAAAAAAGAGAAACAUUAUAUUUUGACAUGGAUUUUUUUAUUACUUAACAAUUUAUGUAGCAACUUCUGUAGUAGCCAUGUUAUUUUUCUAUUAGUGAUUUGGAUGAAACCUGUUAAGUGACCAAAUUUAGUACACUUAACAAAUUUCAAUAAUUUUAUUGGGAUAAAUUAAAAUUCAAUGACAAAUUUGAGAAUGUAAUGAUAGUUCAUUGACUAUCCUUGAAAUUACUCCACAGAUUUUGGAAGUAGAUCACCUUCACUAAUAAAAGGUGCAUGUAGGUAUGUUGAAGUAAGUUAUCUUAUAUCUAAUAAAUUUUUAAUAUCUUGUAAUCUUAUAUUUAGGUUGGAUCCUCCACUUACUGUUAAUUGGUUUUAAGUUGGAUGCUUGACAUAGUACAGAGUCAAGAUUUUUUUUUUUUUUGUUGACCUUUCUUAAUUUGUUACGUGGAAGGCUUCUUUCAUCUUUGCCUACACGUGAUGAAAACCUAUUAAAAUAGGUUAUCUCACCAAUAUCCUAUAGUCUUAUAUUCAGGUUGAGCACCUUUACUUAUUGCUAAUUAAUUUUAAGUAGAAUAUUUAACAAGGUCUAAUGAGAAAGAAUGGUAUGAAAUCAUUACUUAUCUUUCUGUCAAAAUUUCAAAUAUAUCUAUACAAUCUAUGCAAUUUAUAUAAUAAAACAUUUCAAAUUUAUCUAUACAGUCUAUGCAAUUUAUAUAAUAAAACAAAAGUAAUCCCUUUCAAAAUGGUUAUAAUAUUUUUUAAUUACUUAAUAAUUGAAUGAUAGAUAUUUAAAUUGAUUGUAAUUUUUUUUUAUAAUCAAUCAAAAUUGUUAUAAUAAUUCUCUUCUCAUAAUGUUUAAAAUAUCUUAGUUAUUGUAAUUGAUCAAAAUUAUUAUAAUAUUUUUUAUUUUAAUUAUGUAAAUACUCUUCUAUCAUUAUUAAUUAAAAUCAUUAUAAUAUCCACCUAUCAUAAUUACGAAAAUACUUUUUCUAUUUUAUUAAAAUUGUUGGUUUUUUUAUUUAAAAAAUUAAGUUAAAUAAGUGAUGAUAUUAGGAGUUUUUUAUUUCAUGAGUUAAUAGAUUUAAAUUUAAUAAUUAAUCAAUAUUGGUAAUAGUUAAAUAUUGUAUUGGUAUGUUAAUUGUCAUAUAUGUAUUAUUAGAUUUGGCUUUAAUCUAUAUAAUUAUUUUAAAGUAGUCUCUCUUAUUUAAAAUAAAAAUCAACACAUAUCCAAUUGUAAUUAAAUAACACAAUUAGAGCAUCAAUUUUUUUAUUUUUUAAAAAAUUAUAUUUUCUAAAAAUAAAAAACUAACAAACACUAAAAAUAUAUUUAAUAUUUAAUUUAUUAUUAAAUUAAAAAAUUUAUACUUCAUCAAAAUAAAAAAAAUUACAAGUCAAUUGUAACCAUAUAAUUUUUCUAGUAUAUAUAUAAUUAUAAUGUUUCUUUAUACUUGUAAACCAAACGAAGGCAUUAGUGAUAGAAAGUAAAAUGCAAAUUGGUUUAUUUUUUAUUUGAGUAUCAAAAAUUAAAAUUUAAUAUUAAAAUUAACAAUUUAACAUUUUAUAAAUUAUAUUAAAUUGAUUUGAUAAAUAUGAUAAAUAUUAUUUUUUUUGUUAUUAUAUCAUCAAAUUUUUUUAAAAAAAUGCAUAGGUAAAAUGUGCGAAGUUAUUUACACAACAGUAAAUAACUUGUUAUCAUAAUUGCUAAGCACUUGGCAUGUGCUGUAGUUUAUUUUCAUUUUCUUAUUCAUUAAUUAAUGUUAAAUAUUUAAGAAAAUAGCCUAUUUUUUCAUAUUUAAUUUUUUUACAAAGUUGGAGAUCAUAAAGAUAAAAUAAUGAGUUAUAAAUGCUAGAAUUAAAAAUUCAAAUUUUUUUAUAUUUAAUUUGACUUAAAAGAAUUGCUAUGCUAUUAAUGAUUCUUUUCUGAUUUCUAUAUUCACCUCUAUCAAUGAGGUUUGAGAUUUUUUAGGUGUUCGUAUUAAUCCUUCUGUAAAUCAUUCUGAUGAAGUAUAUUCUGAUAAUGACAUUGGUAGUGUCUCAACAAUAAAUGAGAGUGUCCUCCCACAAAUUUUCAUAACAAAACCAACAGUUGAAAUUCUAUAUGACAAUCGAGAAGUUUACAACCCAAAACCUAUGAAUAGUGACCAACAACAACUUCGUCCUUUUUAAGCCUAAAAUUCCGCAUCCUCAUCCAAAUUUUUAAUGUUCACAAUUGAUGACAUUCUUCCUUCUAAAUGACCUUCAAGAUUUUAAAAAUUCUUAGCACGGAGAUUUGUUGAAUUACAUUCCAAUCCCAAUGUUAUGAUGAAUAUGGUUUUAAUAAGAUUUGUCUCAAGACUAGUUGAAACACUUUAAAACUUUUGAGAUAGUAUUAGUAAAUACAGAUAUUUACAGAUUCUUUAAUGCCUAAUAAUUACAAAAGUUGUAUCUCAAUUUUCAAUAAUAUUCUAUAGACAAGAAGCUCAUUGAAUGGAUAAGAUCAAAGAAUAAUUUUUCAAGUUAAAAUGCUAUUCACUCUAUCUAAAAGAUCUUGACAAACACUACUAAUAGUUUUUUUAAUACUUUUAUCUCCUUGGUUGUUUAGAUGAUGUUAAUCUGAAACAAGUUUUCCUCAAUUCUAUUCAAGAAGAACUUGCUCAGUAGAUAAUGACUUAACUUAAUCUUAGAUCUCUUAAUUUGAAAACUAUGAACCUUGGUGAUAUUUACAAGGUUAUGAUAAGAGCCUUUGCCAAGAUUUGCAAAAAGCACAAAUAUAUUGCAAACUUGGUGAAUAACUCUAGAAAGAUGGAUGGACCAUGCUCUUAUUCUUUAGUUGGUUUACAGAUUAAAUGUUCUUCUAAAAACUUCUCAUGUCUUUACCAUUAGAAGAAAAAAAAAUUUUCAAAAAGUUCAAUGUGACAAGACAUCCAAAAAAUUCCCAGUUUUCCAAACAUAAGAAACUUUCCAAAAUUCCCAAAAAGUCUAAAAGAUUUCAGAAAUUCAAGUUUGGCAGAAAAAAAGAUACCCAAAGAAAAAAAAAUAAUAAAUGUUUUCUUUAUGGAAAAUCAGGACAUUUUGCACAGAAUUACCCUAAGACUAACAAAAUGUCCAUAAAGAUGAUACAUGAUAUUACAAAUAUCUCAGGUAUUAAUCUCUCAAAUGAUAACCUUGAAUCAGUAUUUUCUCUUGAUGAUGAGCAAUCUCCUUAGUUGUUGUUUAUGAUCAAGCAAUAUACUAAUGAUAGUUCAAACACAAGUUCAAAUGGCCAUUCAAAAAAUGAUGAUGAUCAAUGCUUUGAUUAUAUGUCAACCCAAGAACUUUAGAAAAUUCAAAUCAUUCAGCCUCCAUAGACACCUCUGGCUCUAGCUCAAAUUUUCAUUCAUAAACACUAACCUCCUAUAAAAGUUACUAUUUUUUUUUAUACUAGUGCAGCUUAAACCAUAACCAACAUUAUUGUCCUACCAAAAUUUCUUUGGAAAAGACAAAAAAAAUCUUUAAAACUGUUGAUGAAAAUGUUUUCUCUACAGAUUUUAUCAGUUAUCCUGUAACCCUUCAGAUCUUCUCAGGAUGUCAAAUAGCUCAAAGGAUCUUAGGAUUAGCACUUUCACAGAAAAACUUAGUUAUUGGUUUUGAUGUUAUUACCAAUAUAUUGGGUUUAAAGCUCAGUGAAAAAGGUAUCAAGUUUGAAGGUUAUUUCUAGGCAUAGAAACACCUUCCUAAUUUCUUCAUUAUUACUACAUAGAUUUGUUCUAAAAAAUUUGGUAAAAGUUAAUCUAGAUCUCAUGUGUGAACUCUCACUAAAAUUCUUCCAAUAAUGCAAAAAACUCAUGUGGAAAAACUUUGAUUUCUUCAUCACUCUUCCUUUAAAAAAAUGAAAAUAUCAAUCCAAUAAAGGCUAGUCAUUCAAGCAUGAAUCCAUAUCACUUAAAGUUAGCCAUUGAAGAAUGUUCACAACUCCAAGCUCAAUGUUUAAUUCUACUAACUUUUUCACUGUAAACAUAUAAAGCAUCUUAUGUGAAUAAAAUAUCAGAACAAGUUAGAGAAAAAUUAAAAUUGGUUAUCAAUUACAAACCUCUUAAUCUUUUCUUUGUAAAUGAUAAGUUUUCUCUUUUCCAUAGGAAAAUGUUAUUCCAUAAUUUGUCAUAGGCAAAACUUUUCUCAAAAUUUAAUCUCUAGACAAGAUUCUGGCAACUAGAUAUACAUCAACAGGACAGAUACAAAACAAUAUUUUACAUUCUUCAACAUCACUUCCAAUAGAUAGUUAUGCCUUUUGGAUUAAAAAUAGCUCUCUUUUUUGUUUCAAAAGGCGAUGACAAAAAUAUUUACUCCAAUUUUAGAGAAUACCUUUAUUUACAUUGAUGAUAUCUUUUUUUUUCUUCAAAUAUUACAACUCAUGCACAGUUACUUGAUAAAUUUUAGUCAAUAGGACAACAGUAUGAAAUAAAGUUGUAAAAAAAAAAGAUGACCAUUGAUGUAACAUAAUUGAUUUUCUCGACAUGCAUUUGAAAGAUGGACGGUAUAUUAUACAACCCCAUAUUGCACAGGCACCUAAAGAUUUUCUUGAUGAAAAUCUUUUGAAAAAACAAGUUUAAUUAGAAUAGUAAACUACAUAAAUGAAUUUCUUCUAAAUCUUGCUCAAAUAACUUAUCCUCUCAUACAGAUGUUAAAAAAAGAGCCUCUUAAAUGGUCCUAGAAGUAUACAAUGUCAAUAAAGAUGCUCAAAGACCAAUUAGAGUCUAUUUUAGCUUUAAAGAUUCCUUCAUAUGGAAAAAGAAUUUUGAACGUAUAUGUAAGUGAUAAGUUUUGGUUUGCAAUACUUUUGAAAAAAAAAUGAGAAAAGAAAAAUUUAUGGAUACAAAAGUAGUAGAUUCAAAAAUUCAAAAAUCUAUUAUCACUUUACGUUAAAAAGAUUUUAACAUGAAAUAUGAUAUCCAAAUAUUUGAAUUUCACCUCAUUAGUUACCAUUUCCUUCUUAAAUUGGACAUAUCAACCUUUAACUAGAUGUUUAAUUUCAAGAAAAAAUAUAUGCUUAAUGCUUAGUUGCUCAAAUUAUCUCAAUAGUUUUUGAAGUAUUCCUUCACCAAGAAACAUAUCAAAAGAAAUGAUAAUGUUCUUCUAAAGAUGUUAUCCAGACCUCCAAGACCUUCAGAUACUUUGAAGAUCAUUCUUGUUAUUGCAAUGAUGAAUCCCUUAUCAUCUUUCCAACCUUCAUCUUCAACUCCUUCCAUAAAAAAAACCUCACAUUGAUGAUGAAUUUAAUGUUUUAAAUGAAUUCUUUCAACUCUCAGUAGAAUAACUCCUUCCAGAGUUACCUAAACUGAUUGCAAUCAAAUCUUUUAAUGUUAAAGCCCCACAUCUUUCGUUCGAGUACUAGUUUAAAAUACUUCAUAGAUUUAGAGACGCCUCUAUACAAUCUCUAGGUUAUACACCCAGAUUACCCUUUCAUCCAUCCUUUAAAUUUUUUUGACCCAUUUUGGAUCUCAAAAGAAACAGUUUAUUUCAUGUCGUAUUUUUCUUCUAAUGGUUCAAACCUAUUCCCAUAUGGAUACACUAGAUAGAGACCUAUGGCAGAUAUAAUAAAGUUUUCCUUGGUCCCCAUAUUAUUUUAAUCUUUUUUAAGCAUUGUAGUUACUUGGCAAAUCAACCUCAAUACUUUUUAUAUAUGGUAAUUUAUAACUCACAAAGUUAUUCAUUGUCAAAUUUCAUGUUUGAUCACCCCUCAAAAGUACAUAAAAUUUCAAAGAUAGAUAUGUGAAAUGAACCAAAUAUUGCUUCUUCAAAUUUGGCCAAAACUUUAAAAUGACAUACCAUGAGGAAACUACCUCUCAGAAUAUAAUUAUCAACUCAAAAUUGAUAAAAAGAUUUAUGAGAUUAGAUUUAAUUGUGCAUGGCAAGAACCCUUUCCAAAAGAUACAAGAUAUAAACUUAAUCAUACUAGUCUAGUUGAAUGGAAACUAUAUUGGAAACUUUAUAAAAUUGUUAAAGAAUCAGACUGGCAAGACUCCCAAGAUCCAUUUGAUAUAGAUGAUAACUUUGAUCCAGACUAAUAUUUAGAGAAUUUUGGUCAUGAUUUUAUCCCAGAAGCAAAUAACUCCCGUCUCAACCUCUCUUCAAAGCAUUGUUUCUAAUGCUCUCUUUUCAAAUGAUGAUCAAAAUGAAGAUUUUUCCUAUUUAAGUCUAAGAUAUGUAUAAUUACACAUGCAAUUUUGUUCAGUUUGUUCAAUGUGCAGCCUCUACUAUGACAAGAUAAGAUUGGUGUUGAUAAAUCAACAUUAGCUUUUAUCAACAUCAACUUUAUGUCAGCUUUGUAUUAAGUCUACUUUAUGUCUUUAAUAAAUUGGUGUUGACAAAUCAACAUUAGCUUUUAUCAACAUCAACUUUAUGUCAGCUUUGUAUCAAGUCUUAUUUAUGUCUUUAAUAAAGUUGUAAAGCACUUUGAUAAAAGGAAAAAAAACAUAUCUUUUUUCUAUUAAAGCUACUUUAUUAAAGUGAUUUUAGUUAUUUUAUUUGUAUUAUGACCCUAGUCAUUAUGUCAGGUGCUAUUCAUUUGCUUUUUCUUCCUAUAUAAGUUUGUAACCCCUUCCUUAUGAAGGCAGGAUCAACAUUACUUAAAAGACUAUCUUGUAACCCCUUUGUAAGAAAACUUUUGUAAAAUAUAAGUAUAUGUUUCUAAACUUCUUCCCUUUUGGCUAUUAUUUUCUUUCUCAAUCUUAGUCUUAAAAAUAUCUCUUAGUCAUUUAUGUCAUGAUUUACAGUGAUACAAGUUAGUAUACUCUGUAAUUAUCAUAGCAUUAUGGACCUUUUGCAUCAAAAUUCUUAUAGAAUUGUCACACAAAUCAAUGAUCCACUCAACAAAAAAAAAAGUUACUAUACCAAAGAAUACUGAAAUAGGCUACUAUAGUGAAAGGCAUAGUUUUAUAAAAAUCGAGCUACCUUGCUCAAUAUCUUACCAAGAGAGAGCUUAAUCUUGAAUAUCGACUAGAAUACCUUGGUCUUAUGCCUGAACUAUGGACUGUUUAUGUUUAUUAUCUCCUUAAAGAAAGCAAUCGAUUCUCGUUAAUUGGUAUCAGAGCUUCAAGCCAUAUAGAAACUAAGUUAUUAUCUCUAUAAUUAUAUUAGGUAGAAUUUGGUAGUCAAAAGACUUUUUCUUAUGUAUAUGUUAAACACUAGAUCUGAUUCAAUCUUUUAACCUUUAGAUCUUCAUUUCUUUACCUUCUACUCCAUCUCCUGUACUUAUAAAGUUAUCUUCUUCUAAGUUAGAUUUUCUUUAUGAAAUCAAUUAUAUUCUAAAAAAUUAAAAAAAUCCAAGAAACAUAACUUUUUCCUAUAAAUCUUUUUAAUGUUUUUUCUAAAACUUUUUCUUCCUUAAAUCUAUAAAGACUCUUUUCAAACCAAAAAAUCAAGCUUUAAAAGAAUAUGUUUAGCCUUCAAGUUUGAUCAGUGUAUUUUACCUUUAGGAUCUCAAGAGCACUUUGUUACUAUUCAAAUUCCCUCAAGAUUUUCAAAGUAGUGGAUAGAUCAAUGAUACAUUCACAUCCACUUUGGUGCUGUCAAGAUAAUGUUGAGCAUUCAUGGCCAAAAUAGUAUUCUUGCUUAUACCGUAAUAGCUUUGCUGGAUACAACAUUCAAAGGUUAUAAUAUACAGUGCUUAGCAUAGUUGAGAUGACUCUGAAUGCGAAAACUAUUUUUUCACAGUAUUUCUCAACUACAACAUGUAUCUACAUGAUCUAACUCUUUUAGAUGAUUUGAUAGUUUCAAGUUCAAAUUUUGGAACUGAAAUGAAAGGAAUCCAGGUAAUUCUUCACUAUCAGAUGACAUACAAAAUCUAAGCUUAUGCCAUAAAUCUCUUUUUGCUUAACUCUGGUGAUGCAGUCUUUGUAAAGUUAUAAGCUAUUGACAAGAGACUCAGAUGCAUUUACAUUCUAAAAUAGAUUUCAAAUGAUGAACUUGCUGUCCUACUUUUUAAGUCAUGGACAAUAAGUUAUCAAAAGCUUUGGAAACAUGAUGAACCCAUCCAACACUUUGAUCCCUCUUAUACCACAAACCUAUCUGGUAUUGUCACAAUCAAAUUUUAUCACAACAAGUAAAAAGAGACUCCUACUCCAACUUCUAUCUUUCUUAUACAAUUCAUGAUGCAACCAUGUCAAUAAGAAUCAAAUAUAGCAGUUACACAUUUCAAACGUAAUGCAUUACAUGUAUACACAUACAAAUCUCUAGAAUUACAUUGUUAUUGGGAUGUUGAUUACAGUUGUAAAGGAUGACAAAAAGACAAACGUAAAAGUUUAUUUGAUGAUGAUCAAAGAAAACUAAGACACAAAUCCUUCCAACAAAAGCUGAAAGAAAUAUUUGAAAAUGAUGGCCCUAAAGUAGAUAUCAUUGAUGAACCAUUGAAAAAGUUUGAUUAUUAUAUCAUUUAUCCCAAAUACAAGAGGCCAGUUAUCUCUUAGCCAAAUUUCUUAAACCAAACACCUGAAAAGCCAAAACCUCAACCAAGAAAACCUUUACCUUGGUAUGUGGUUAGUUUUACUUGCAUUGUUAUAGAAGAAGCAAAAAAAGCUAAGCUAAAGCACCAAGUUAAUAAAGCAGAAGAGGCUAAAAAGAAACAUCAGCCAAUGAAAACUCAACUAGAGAAUUGUCAACCUCUUUUUUAGAUUUACAUGAUGUAGCCAACAAGAUCUUUUUAUUUUUAUGAUGCAUAAUUUCUUUCUCUCUAGGAAUUCAUAAAAAAUCAAUACAAACACACUCUAAAAUCUCAAACCUUACUGAUAGAGAUGAAUAUGAAAAUUAAAAAAUAAUCUCUCAAGUAAAAGUAGUAUUGAAUUAGAAAACAAAAAACUUUAUUUUUUAGAAUUCAGCUCUGUAAAAAAUAGAAAACAAGUUAAAACAAGUGAGCCAACAUUUUGACCAAAAUUUCAUCAAUUUUUAGAAUAUUAUUCUUGAUAUUCAAGCAAAAAUGAUUAUUGUAGAUCAAGAGCUUAAACAAUUGGUUGAAAGCAAAAAUGGUUACACUUAAGCUUUUGUUGAAAGAGAAAUAAAGAUGAAAAGUCUCAAGAUUUAACUUGUAGAUCUUCAUAAUCAACUAUAUCAAAAACUUUAACAACAACAAACUUUAAGUAUUUUUGCUCCAGUUAACAUUGAAUGCAUGAUACUCCUUAUCAAGCUUACACCCCAUCUUUACCUCCAAAACCUUUCUUCACCCUAAUACCAACCAAAACCAACCACACCAAUACUAACGAAAACCAACCACACCAAUAUUCACACCUCUAUCCGUAACUAUAACUUCAUACCCCCAGCCUAAACCAUUCUUCACACCCCUUUCAGAACAACCAUUUUAUACUCUUCCCUUAGAACAACCUUAUUUUAGCACUAUUGAAAAAUGGAUACACAGAUUUAGAGAAAAAUAGGCAAUGGAAAACAAACCCAAAAGAAUUGUAAAACAAUCACUUUCUCAACGCCCAAAGCCAAAAACAACCACCACCACAGUUGCUACUCUUUCUAUUUCCACUCCUGACCAAACUCUUGAAAAUAUGUCCUAUGCUUCAUUUGAACUUCCUUCUUAACUCAUGAUUUCCUUGACACAGAAUGUUCUUCCCAACAUGUUCAAGUAGAUGAUGCAAGAAAAUCUUUUUCAAUUUUCAAUAAUAAAUAUCUUCAUUUCUGCAGUCGAAAUUAAAAGCAUUACAUGUGAUAUAACAAAUUGACAUAGAAAUGGAAUUAAAAUACCCUUUACUUUGGCUAGUUAAAUCCUUAAAGAUUUUUUUUUUUUUUAUGAAUGAAUCUUUCAAGAGUUAGAUCGAAUGCUAUUACACCAAUUUUUUUUAUUUUGACAUUAUAUUUCAAUUUCAUUGAUUUUUGAAAAAAAAUAAUGUAAUUGGCAGAAAUUUAUUGCUUGUUUGAGUGAAAUGUUUUGUAAAAUAGUUCAAUAUUUUUUUUUUCAAAAAUUAAUGAAAUCAAUAGUAUAAUGAUAAAACUAAUAAAAAUGAAAUUUACUAUUAAAUUAUAAUAUAUUAAAGAGGUUCAUAUCCUAACUUUUAAUCUAACCAUUUGUACAGAGGUAAAAGAUUAUCUAUCAAUAAAAAUAGUAUCUCUAUUUUUAUUCUCAAUCACAAUGGAUUUUUAGUAGAUCUUAACGCUAUGUUUGGAUAAAUAUUAAUAAAAGAAAGGAAAAAAAAUUUUUUAAAGGAAAAGAAAGGUUACAUAUAACCCUUGUUUGGAUAAUUAAAAUUAAUAAAGGAAAUGAAAGGAAAUGAAUUUUAACAACCAUUGUUUGGAUAAAUAGUAAAAAAGAAAUGAAAUUAUUCAUUAUAAUAAUUUUUUUCAAUUAUAACAUUUUAUUACCUAUGAUUUUAGAGUACUCCUAGACUAUGAUAUGUUUGUUAUCUUAUCUGACCUCACAAUUGCUACUAUAUCAAUGAUUUUUAAUCAAGUAAAACGAAAAAAUAUUUUAUAAAUAUGCAUUGAUGAAUUUUGAGCUAAUCUGACAUCUCAUAAACCUAAAAAAUAUAUCUAUUUAUAUUCAAUCAUUCAUCAAAAUCAAGUUACCAAAAAUUAUAAAAAAUUUUAAUAUUGGAAGAUAUAUAUGAAACUUACUUGAAAAAAGAGAUAGUUUUGAAAAAAAUUAUAAAAUGAUUAUGAUCUGUUUAAGUUUUUUUAUUAGAUUUUUAGUAUUAAUUAAAACAUGAACAUAAUAAUCUUUUUAUAAAAUUUUUUUUUCAACUUUCAUUUUCCUAUCUUUUCCUCCAAAUUAGGAUAUUACAAAAAUUGGAUUUACAAGGAAAAUCUAAAGUUAUUUGGUUUUCACCUCUUUUUCUUUCUUUAAAUUAAAUAUUUAUCCAAACAAAAGAAAUAAAAUUUUGUUUUUUUUACUUUACUUUCCUUUUGUUCUUCUCUCCUCAAUCCAAACAUACCGUAAGAGUUAUUGAAACUUACUAAUUAUGAGUUUAAAACUCAUGAACUCAGAUUCUGACAGUUACCAUUAAACCUUCAGAUGAUUUAACCACAACCACUAAAUAUUAACUUAUAAUAAAUUGAUAGAGUUUGUUUUAAACAUUUCAGUGUUAUAAAUUUGAUUUUUGGUUAAUAAAUAUGAUUUUAGUAAAAAUCUUGUGAUUAUCAUUAAAAUAUAUUAAGAUUUCACGAAAAGUCUCGCGAGAUCAUAUAAUAAUUAUUUGAGAUAAAUUAUACACAUUUAUCAUACUACUUUAUAGUUGGUUCUAAUAUAUUAUUAAUCUCAAUAUAAGAUAUAUUUGACUAAGAUUUUAAAAGUAUUGUUCGGGUUUGCAAUGAUUUAAUUUGACUUUUAAAAAUAUUUAUUUAUUUAUUUAUUGUAAAUGAUUUAUUAUUAUUAUUAUGGCAUAUUUGUAAUCUGCCUGACUGUAAAUGAAUUUACUCUCACAGUUAAAAGAUGACAAUAAGUUAGAUUGAGAUAAUUUUUUACUCAUCUUGAAUCUGAUUUAAUUUGAUUUUAUUUUAUAUCCGAAUUGACCCAACUUGAUAAUAUAUAAAAUUAUACUAAAUUCGAUCCAAUCUAAAAUUAAUAAAAUAUUAUUUUUAAUGUAAAUAUAAAUUUAAAUAAAUAUGAAUAUAUAUAAUUAAAAAAUAAUUUUUGUUAUAUAUUAGGUCGACGUAGGUUUAUCUACAAUCCGAUUCCGAUCCCGAUAUUUUUCUACUAUUAUCCAUCCCGAUCCAAAACUUGAUUAAAAAAAAAAAAAUGACCUUAAAAAUCGAAACCUACAAGGGCCGGAUUGGGCUGCAGUCCCUAUUUACAGCUGCCACAACAGUAUAAAUGAAAAAACAUCUAAUAAUGGGUCCAGUCUUUCAAAUCACAGCUCUUCAUUCCAUUAAAAAUGAUCAUACUGCUAAUAGGGAUAGAAUCAGCUCAUGAUGCUCCUUUCUAAAGCAAUGAAAACCAAAGUAAUAUCAAUCUAAAUCACAAUCAGCUUAUGAAUCUGCAAAAUUUUUCACCCAAAAACCACACAAUCAAUUCAAUCCAAAAGAUAGAAGGCAGUGAAAGUGCAUAUUCAGUCACAGCAAUAAAUUAUAAAGCAUUAAAGUGACGGUAUUGAAGUUCCGAAACAAACUAGGAAAAGUAUAGAAUCAAACCAGCUCUAUCCUCCUAAUGAAGCAAUUCAUUUGAACUCAACAAGGGCCACACUACCAUAGCAUUUAAGGAGACAACUCUAGCACGCAUUCAAACUCAGGAGACAAGGUUGUCGUUUAAUGACAACGAAGCCAGCUGAUCAGCAGCACCAGCAGUCUGCUGCUGCUGAGCGACAGUCCUCAGAACCUCCAUAGCUUCUGCAACCUUGGCUUUUAGAGCAUCAGGUGACUCAAGCAAGUGUAAAACCUCAGUCUGAUCCAUCUCCAGAAGCAUCCCUGUCACUUUAGCUGCUGCAUCAGGCUCCAGCUGUUCAACAAGUGGAUAGAGAUUCUCCCCCAGCAUCUACACAUAUUAACCCAAUGUAAAAAUUUCACUUAACCAGAAUAGUAGUGUAAGUUAUCCAUUUUCAGAAACUUGCACUGAAUCUUUUUAAAAAGGAAUAAUUACAAAAACACUACAGCAAGUUUUUAGUAUCAUUUAAAUGUAUGAAAGAAGGAAAUUAAAUGUUACUAGUAAAAAUUCACAUCUCAAUAGGGGAACCCUAUAUUUUUUAAAUAUUAGAGUAUCAUACUCUUCAACGUAACUUUUAACUUUUGUAAUUAACCCUUCUAAAAUUGACUAAAAUGUGGUACAAGUAUAAUCUAAACUUGAACAGCAUAACUAUACAGAACAUAGAAAUAACAAAUAAAUAAAGCAAAGCAGUGCAUACUGUUCUCUGCUGAUCUGAAGUAGCAUUUGCAAGUGCUGACGCCAAGGCUCCUAUUGGAAUUGGCUGAGAAAGUGAAGUAUCACGCAUCGGCAUGCCACCCAUAUCAUAUGGAACAGCAAGCAUGCCUCCAGCAACAUUAGCCAUUGAAACAUCAGGUAGACCACGCCCUGAUGGAUAGCGAUAGACCCGCCCUCGUGGUAGCAUCUGGUAUUUAAAUGAACCAUCAGAUGAAGUAUUUACAGAUAUGAACAUACUUAUAAAAGAUAUUACAAAAUCCAAGAAGUGAUUAAACAAACCUGCUGCUGCAUUAAUGGAACCGGUUGCUGACUUUGCUGAAUGGCCCCAGCCCUUCUGCCACCAGGACGCUGACCCUGCUGGCCUUGCUGAACCAUUGGUACAAAGAAAUUUGGCAUGGGAGCCCCACCAGGCCUCAUACCAGGGACAAGCUGCUGUUGAUAUCCAAAUCCAGCCUGGUGGAAGAUAAAAGGUCCAUAAAUUUCUAAAGCAGAUUUACAAAUACAUUGAUUACUUCAGAAAGUUAAAAUAUACUUCUAUGACUAACGAUGCCAAGAAAUAAAAUGCAAAAUAAAUAGUUACCUGAGGAGGAAAAAUAGCAGGAGGUGUUUGACCAUAGAAUAUUUGCUGCCCAAGACCUGGACCACCAGGUGGGUACAUUGGCAUACGAGGUGCAGGUGCCAUUGCAACUGGUCGCAUUUGAGAAAAUUGAGCCUGUAAAAAGCCAAUUACAUGCUUUAGCAUACCAAAGAAUCAAAACCAUCCUAUUGCCCCAGGCUCAAAGCAAAUAUCAGGAGAACAAACCUGCAACCUAGCUCUCCUAUCUUCCUUCCUUUGAGCUAGUGCCACAUAGAGAGGUUUGCUUACAACCACUUUGCCAUUCAUCUCCACAAGCUGUCAUAAUAAGAAAAACUAUUAGCUUAUGAUAAGAUCAUGAGAGUAAGGACAGCAUUGUCAUCUUACAGCUCUAGAUGCUUCUUCUGGAGUUGAAAAUGCAACAAACCCAGAUCCUUUACUUAUUCCAUUAGGGUCUCGCAUAACCUGUUAAAUUAAAUAAUUGGCUUCAGUCAAACGAUUACCAGAAUCCAUUGAACUUAACUAUUCUAGAAAACAUGCUAACAAACCUUGCAUGAUGUUAUGGUACCAUAUUGAGAGAAUAACUCUUUAAGUUUUUCAUCGCUUAUGCUAUCGUCCAAAUUCUUAACAUACAAAUUUGCACCAUGGAAUUUAUCCGCUGCCUCUUUCAUUGUCUGCUCAAAUCGAAGUUUCAGUUCAACCUCCCUUUCAGAUUUUUUUUGAGCUUUCCCAACAUACCACUCCUUAUCAUAAAAUUUCUUUCCAUCGAGGGACUCAACAGCAAUAGCUGCGUCAUCUGCAUUCUCAAAGUUUAUAAACCCAAAGCACUUGGAUUUCCCAUCUGGUUCCCUCAUCACCACAGCACUAGUGAUUGGACCAAAUUCACCAAAAAUGUUCUUCAAAUCUUCUUCACUUGUUGAUUCUGAGAGAUUCUUUACAUAGACAUUGUUAAAUUUUGCCUUGCUAAUAGAAGUGUCUCUUUCCUGCUUUCGAACAAAGGGGCCUACAUACACUUGCUUAUCAUUCAGUAGCAUACCAUUCAACUUCUCUAUUGCUUUUUGGGCAGCUUCCUCAUUGUCAAAUUGUACAAAGCCAUAACCUUUUGAAUGGCCAGAGGGGUCUGUGGCUAC